This 76074-nucleotide long non-coding RNA is filed under the name Malus domestica (apple). RNAcentral describes it as "long non-coding RNA (MDOM_LNC009160)". Lineage: Eukaryota; Viridiplantae; Streptophyta; Magnoliopsida; Rosales; Rosaceae. The record is from RNAcentral.
CGUUGAGGACUUCAACUUGUACGUCGGUGAUUUUCAGGUUUUCUUUGAUGAAGAGUGACGCUCCACUCAUCACACCAAUAUCUGUAUGUAAAAAUGACAUCAACGUGCAUUGCACGCGGAGAUCAGACAACGUAAUAACACACAUGAAAAGGAAAAAAAUACCAAAAGAAAAAUCCACAUGCAUGAGGUAAAUGGACAAUUAAAUUUACCAUAGCCCAGCAAGAUUGAAGUCAUUGAAGCCAAAGUGGCACAGGCAAUAGCGAACUUCUUUGUCUUCGGGGCCUUGGGGGGAUCAAAGUCCGCAAUAGUCUUCUGGCCUGAGGCUUCAGUAUUUUGAGGUUUCCGGUCAGCCAUCUCCAUUGUUAGAGCUAGCUAGAGAUCGAUAGACAAAUAGACAGACAGAACACAGAGAGAUCACUUGUCAAUGAAAGAAUAUGCUAUUACUCGAGAAUUUUAUUCAUUCACCAAGGUGCUGUUUUUUGUUUUGGGAAUAGGAUUUGGAUCUUUUGUUUUCAGAACACAAGCUCUCAAGUGCUGAACAAUUCGCCAGUACUCUGCUAACUUGCGUUUAUUUGGAUUUGUGAUGAUUUGUAUCUUACGAAGGAAGGUGGGUAAGAACCAAGUUAACUGAUGAUAUGUCUGCAUGCAGGCUCCCCUUAUAAACAUUCCGAAACGAGUAAGUUACGGACUAAAGCAAAACAAAUUCCAACUUUGUGUCGGGAGAUCCGUUCUUACAGUUCCGCUGUUGUAUGAAGACCAAUUGAUUUUUUCUUCAACUUACCAAGAAAUAGAUUUAAUUUUAGUGUUUUCUUAUAUUUUUAAUCCAACACCGAUGUAAAGGUUACUAUUUUGGUAAUUAAUCAUUGAUUUACUCAUGUAGUGCCAGCGAGGGUUAAUUUUGUGCAAAGUAUUCUUAAUUUUUUGUUUCUUUAAUCACAUAGAUAGAUAGCUUUGUAUCUUCCACAGGGGGCAUAUAUUGCGUUACGAACUGUUUGGACCUGAAAUGCAGGCUGAAGCCGAGAAUGGGCCAGCCGAGUUGAAAGGCCAUAAUUUGCGGUCCAUUAAUGAUUCUAGGCCAGUGGGCUUUUGGCCCAAGAGAAUUUUAAUUCCAUCGAGUUCCUAUAGGAGCAGGACUGUUGAAGGAUCAUGUUCAGGCGUGGCUCGGUCGAGUCUUAAAUGAAUUAAAAUUACCAAGGAUCAAGAUGAGUUAUGAUAGAUGCGAAUUACUCUAGGAAUCGGAACUCAUGCUUGACCAGAUAAGGAAGUUAGCAUUAUUAUUUUUAGAAGUUCAGAAUCUAAUAUAAAGGCUAGAGGGAUUGUUCAAGAUCUAUGUUUCACUAAUGGUGAAAACCAAAAGUUUUCAAAAAUUUUCAAUUUCACUACCAAACAAGUUUUUCGGUCUUAAUGAAAAUUACUCUAAUAGAUGCUUCAUACAAAAUAAUAAUUGAAGUUGUUUUGAGUAGGAUAUCAAACAGAUAUAAGUACAAUUGCAUAUAUCCGAAAUAUAUGAGAUAAAGGAAUUGAUCAUCAUCAUAAAGUGCAUUAAACAUUGCCCUUCUAUUCCUAAUGGAUUUGAACCUUGUUGUCGUCACCAAUACCAUGAUCAGCUUGCUUAGUCUUGUUAAGCAUGGCAUUGGCUUCUCUCCACUUGUGGUAUUUACCAAACAAGACCUCCAUAUCUUCAAGGGAUUGACCCUGCAUUUCUGGAUACAACGUAUAAAAGAAGACCCAACUAAGCGCAGCGAUUCCCGCGUAAAGAAAGAAGGCCCCACCAAUCGUGAUGGCCUUAUACAAUGAAAUAAAAGUCUUUGAGAUGACCCCGCUCGUCACCCUGUUCACAGCCACCCCCAUAUUGCACCCUUGUGUGCGCAACUGUAACAGAAAGAUCUCAGAGCUGUAAACCCACGUGAUGGGUCCCAACCCGAUGGAGAAAAAAGCAACGAUGAACAGUACCAUGGCGAUGCACAACCCGACGGCCCACAGGACCUUGCUGUGGGAUUGAUCAACGACCGUAAGACCCACACCAAGCAGCGUAAAAGAAACUACCAUUCCACCCACCCUGCUCAAAAGCAAAAUACGACGUCCGAAUGGAUCAACUUGAAAUGUUGCCACCAAGAUUGCAAUGGUCUUGACAAAUCCAACAGCCACAGUUGCAAGCAUCUUGUCAUUGUAAGAAGUGAUUCCCGCCUUCUCGAAGAUCCUGGGGUUGUACAAAACCACAUAGUUUAUACCCGACAAUUGUUGAAAGAAGUGGAUACCAAGGGCUGCUAUUAAAAUGAGACGCACUGCCGGUGUGGGACAGAGGAGCAAUUCCUUCCAUAUACCUUCACCUAAUUGGCUGCGUUUAGAAACCUGAACGACCUCAUCCUUUCAGUAUUUGGGGAUUCCUGCAGCUUCUUUAAUCUCGUCUAGUCUGAGCUGCGAUUCCUAUUCAGAAUAUGAUGUUUUAUUUAGGACUCGCUUGGCGUCUCCGAGUCUCCCUUGCAUGAUGAGCCAGCGUGGCGACUCAGGAAUGGAGCCUAAAAUAAUCUCAACAAUUCUAGAAGCGACAUGUGGACUUUUAUUCAAGAAUGACAAGAUUAUCCUCAAUAAAUGGGCAGGUUUCUCAGAUGCUCCCACACGUAGCUCACAUCCCUGGAGGGCUCAUCAGCAGAACACAACUGCCCACAACUCACCUGCCCUUGGCAAAUAAUUAAAGAUAAGGAUUAAUUACCCAAAUCCUAUCUUUAAUACAUUCCUAAUUGAAGAUUAACUCAAAUCAAGAAAGUAAUCACCAUUUAAAUCAAAUCGGGAUAAUUACCCAUUAUCUUAAUAUAUUAUUUCCUAUUAAAUAUCUUGGGAAUAUUUAGAGAAUAUUUCUCCAUUAAACACUAUAUGGCAGGCCCUAGCCCUAUAAAUACCUCAUAUUCUAUCAAAUUUUGAGAGCUUUGCAACCCUAAAAAAGCCCUAAACACUUUACUCUCUCAGAGAAACUAACUUAGGUAUCGGAGAUCCGUUGACCUAAACCCCCCCCCACCUCGUGGGUGAGUGAGGCUUAGGUCUUUGAUCAAAGGUGUUGAUUAUUUUGCAGGUGCAUUUGGUCAAGACUGAAGACGGCGGAAAUUUGCAUCAACAAAUUGGUGCUUUCAUUGAGAGCUAAUUCAAAAUACUCAAAGAAGCCUCUCGUAUUAGUUUCUUGAAUUUUCUUACGUUGAAAUUCUCACACGUUGUAUCAAUUAAUUUUUCCUAGAAAAGUUUCUUGAUCAAUCCCUGGAGAAAGGAUACAAUGGUAGGAAAUUCAUAAACUACGACGAAAUGAACCUUAUACGUGGAAGGAUUUGGACCCGAGAGUAGAAACGAGGACAUAGCCCCACAACGGAGAUCCUUAAGGCUCAACGCGAUGGCAGGAGGAGCCCCAUCGUCGUGGAGCCACGCCACCACCAUCACUACAGUGACCCAGCAACCACGGCAUCCAAGCCCAUGGGUAGGAGGCCCAUAACUUAGCAGCUGCCACAGCAAGCCCUGGGCAGGAGGCCCAGCCUAAUGCAGCAGCAGACCUUGUUACACAGCAGGCCCAAACCCGAGCCUAGAAUUCGGUAGCUGUUGCCAGCCAGGUAGCUCAACGGGCCCAAGCCCAAGCCACUCAGCCAGCAGGCCAAGAUGUGGCAGCCCAACGGCCCUGAAGGCUCACGGCCAUGCAGAUCUAAGGCGAGCAGGCGCUGGCCCAACGCGUCCCUCGACCCGCUUCGAUAAUCUGGCCUGCGACCCAAUCCAUUCCGAGGCCAUCUCCAGUCCAGAUUCUGACCACCGGUUCUGCGAUCCAUUCAGGGUUACUUAGACCACACUUUUUUGCAGGAAUGCCCGCUUUGGGCUCAAGCUUUGUACCUACAGUCCACUAUACUUCCACCACACAUGGAGAUGCCCAUCAUCCAAGCUUUUCCAAUCCAAAUGGCGAGCACCACCUGCCCUAGCAUGUUGCCAAUUUGACGAACGCCCUCGCGCAACAGACCACCUUGGUGAACCAACGCUUUGAGUGUAUCGAGAAGCCGCGCACCCCAGAUGAGGUGUCCUGAAGCAGGAUAAGGACGGAAGAACGUGACUCAUUCUAGCAACGUCCAGGCAACGAACCGUGCGUUCGAGUAGUGUGCACUCUCGUUUGGGCCUAUGAGGAAACGUAUUCUCCUACCUAAAUGCACAGGGAAACAUUCAUUCCUGACUCGGCUCACAAGUCAGUGUGCAUUCAAGGUUGGGUCCAUACUUCAACGAGCACCCAGGACAUUUUAGGUGAAAUGUCCACAUGAGGCUAGGCCUACAAGGAGAUCCUCCUAUGAGGCAACGGAGUAGGCAGCCGCAUGUUGACCAGAGAAGAGCACGUGAAUAGUCCAAUUCAAGUUCCACUGGUAGCCCUUGCCAAAAGCGAUGAUGAGCAACACAACAUGAACUACGUGUACAGCAACUGUGACACAAAUGAGCAAGACGAGCGGAAAGAGCAACAUGGAUCGGCAGGUCAACACCGGGAACAGUUGAAGGCUCCAAUGCCGUACCAUGCACAAAUCCAGGAUGAAGUACAAAGGCUCGUAGCAGAGCAACUGCGCGGAUUCCUGCGUAUUGACACUACUGACGAUGCCCUCCGUAGAGACGUGGCCAACCUGAGCAAGUCACCAUUUACAGACAAGAUCGAUAAGACGGAGCCACCGCGGAAGUUCAACCCGCCACAUUUCACCUUAUUUAGGGAAGAUGAAGAUCCGGACAUGCACUUGAUGCACUACCGAAAUGCCAUGACCCUUUACGCCAACAAUGAUGCUCUCAUGUGCACAAUCUUUGCCACGAUGCUCCAAGGAAUAUUCGUCCUACCGCUUGAUCAAAAAGAAGUUUGACCACCUUUUCAACAUGAAGAAUGACCUGAAUGAGUCACUCCGCACUUAGGUCAAGAGAUUCAAGGCGGAAAAGGGCAAAUAUCUGGUAGUUCCAGUCAGGAAACUUAGUCCUCAGAAAAGCCUUCAUCACCGCCUGACAGGAAGGCUCCAAAAAGAUGGCUCCCAUCUGGGAAGGUUUAUACAAAAUCAGCCAGGUAGGCGGAAUAGGCAGCUACACCCUCACCACUAUGAGCGACAAAGAAGUCGACAAGCUGUGGAAUGCCUACAACCUGAGAAAGUACUACGUGUGACCUCCCACCAUUCCAAAAGUACUACAUGUGAUCUCCCACCAUUCCUUGGACCCUGUUCAAGAUGACAAAGUUUGAAGACUCAAGCAGCUCGACAAAUUAGACCUCGCAUGCUGAGGAUUAUCAGUUGUUAUGCCAUUAUUGCCUAUGAGCAAAGUUAAUAAAAGCCUCUAUCUUCAACAAAGAUUGAAGGAUUUAUUGACAAGCCUGGGUCAAAUGCAUAAACAAGCUGACCAACAUUGUGACAAAGCAGAAGACUUCUGCUGCCCCGCAGACAUAGUGUAAGCUCUCCAGCGCGAGAGGGUAAAUUAAUUCCUAUACACCCAUCAUGGUAAGCUAUCCCGCGUGAUAGGGUAAACUAAUUCCCCGACACCUAUCAGGGUAAACUUUCCAGCGUGAGAGGGUAAAUUAAUUCCCCGACACCCUUCAGGGUAAGCUAUCUACUGUGAAAGGGUAAGCCACUCCGGAAUAUCUAGACGUGGAUGGGUUGUACGACUACUCAGGUCCCCUUGAAUGCAGCGACUACCUGCACUGGACGACUCCCAGAAUUGGCCACGAUAGUUUUUCCCUUGGAAUAAACUUAGCCAACUGAAAGAUUCAAUUCCGCGGGAUCCCGAGUCUUUGAUCGGAAGAGACGCUAAGUGCAGGACCUCUGCCCAUGAAAGAAUUCACGUGACAAUAUGGUUCAUCUUCGAUGUGCAAAUCUUCAUGAGUGGCUUGAUUUCAAAGUGUUGCAAUACUAGUUAAGCAACUUGCGAGAUCAAAGCUGCGACUCGGAAGGAUAUGGUCUUUAAUGAGCGACUUCGGCUACACCUUACGCCAAAAAACGUCUCCAAGAGCCAUGGAUGACGCCAGAAGUGGUCACGCGGGUUGUCUGCUUCUGUAAGUAAAAUGCCCAACUGACAGCCCCAUGGCUACAAGCCCAAGGUAGCCUGUAAGCCGAGACUUACACCUACUAUGACUACACAGACUUGCAUGCUUACCUACAAGUAGCACUUUCGGUUGACGAUCUAUGGUUUAAGUUUUGCUGGGACAAAGUCGAGUGUCACGAUUAUAGCAGCUACGCGGAUCUCUUUUGCUUCCUAUGAGAGGCACGAGUCUGGUCGACAGCUCUAUAAGUAAAAAAUCUCGCAACGCACCCUGGAAGGGCCAAAGCUCAAGAAGCCACAAAGUCGAGUGUCACAACUAUAACAGCUACGCGGACCUCCUCUGCUUCCUACGAGAGGCACGAGUCUUGCCGACGGCUCUAUAAGUCAAAAGUCUCUCAAUGCGCCCCGGAAGGGCCAAAGCUUGAGAAGCCACAAAGUUGAGUGUCACGAUUAUAGCAGCUACACGAAGCUCCUCUGCUUCUUACGAGAAGCACGAGUUAGGCCGACGACUUUAUAAGUAAAAAAUCUUGCAGUACGUCAUGGGAGGGCUAAAGCUCAUGAAGCUACCCAAAGCCAAAAUUGAAGCCUAAAGUGACCAAUUAAGUCAACUGCUCAAUCGGAGUAGCCCACUCAACUGCCCGUCAUACGGCAAAGUUUUGCAAAACGCCUCAAGCAGGCAAAGCUCUAGAAGCCCCAAAGCCAAAACUGAAGCCUAAAGUGACUACAUGAGUCAACUGCUCAACCGAAGUAGCCAACUCAACUGCCCGUCCUACGGAGAAAAGCUUCGCAAAUAACAUGGCAAAAAAGAAGGAUGAAGCAAAAGACAAUGAGAGCUGUUUAUUAAAUUUCUAGCAAAUUGAUAAACCAGCACGAACGCCAACAAAGUUUAAGCAAAGCAGAACAAAGAGGAAAAGAAGAAAAAACUCCUAAGUCUAAGCAAAAAGACUACUCUUUAGUAACUUGCGCAACCACUGGUUGCUUAACUGCCACGCUUUCAGUAGCCAUGCCAUUCCCAAUUGCUAAAGUUUCCAUUAGCUCAUCCUCAACCGUCCCCGCCUGGACUGCUAGAUCCUCAGCUGCUCCACCAAUGGCAGCCUCAAACGAGAAAUCAAGCAAAUCAACUGAAGAAAUGGAAAAAGUCUCGAAGUCCUUCUCGAAAAACUCAUAAUCUGAUGGCCUACCCUGAAGAUGGUUUACAUAGCCAAGCUUGUAGAAAUCGGCCUGACAAGAAGCAAGCACCACUUCAUGACCAACUUUCACAUUCUUCAGCUGCGCAUUCUCCUCAACAAGCCUAAUGUGAGCACCUUGCAGCUCAUCCAGUUCCUUUUUCAAGUUCUUGCUAGCAGACAGCGCACCUUGCAGAUCCAUUUUCUUGUACUCAAGUUUACUAGCAAUCUCCUUAAGAUGAGACACUUCAACAUGCAUAAAGAUAAACUCCUCGUUCUUGGCAAAGCAAGCAGAUCGUAGCUCUGAAUUGACACACUCAAGGUCCUUGACCAUCGGAGAAACACGACUAACUUCAUUCUCUAUAGCUUCCAACAUUGCAUGAGUCACACCAAGCCUAGCAUUCAAAUGGGUGACCUCCUGAUGAGCGAUCUCCAGUUGCAAAGAAGUGGGGGCAGAGACAUCAGACCCUUUCAAAAAGGCACUUCGGCCUCUUUAGCACACUUGACAGCAUCCUGAUCAACGCGCAUAAACUCAGCUGCUAGGAUUAAAGUUUUAUGCAUUGUAGCAAUCAGGGAGGAUCUCCUCGAGUAGGUAGGAUGCUUCGCAAAUGAGUCUGAGCGGACGACAACUUUCCCAACACUAUCAACAAACUUAGUGCAUGCAUCGACGUCCUCAAGCAGGUUAGCCUUCAGCAGUGUACAAACCUCGGGAAACUCUCCAGCCUCAAACUCGAUGGAUCUCUCACAAUUGCCCGUGUGAGCAGAUUUCCCCUUCUUAGCAGACGAGUCAAUCACGGCAGAAGGAGGAACAAGCUCUGACGCCAAUUUAGCAGUGAAAUCCACUUUUUUGCUCUUCAUAACGAUGAUCCUCUCAGAAGUAGAGCCAGAUUUAGCUCCUGACGGAUGAUUCGAUACAAACCCAAACACCGGAGGCACCACCAAACUCUUUCGCUAGGCAAGUCUCUCAGCAAUGGAUGCGGUUACCUUUGGAGCAGCAGGUUUCACAGGCUUAGGCUCAACGGUCAUCUUCGCCCUCUUGGGGGAAGUUAGAUUAAUGAUAAGCUUCUCGGCAGCAGACGAGCUCCUACAAGCAACUGAAGAAGUCCUUGGUUUCUUCUCAACCGAAGGUUCACAAGCAGGUGAAGAAGACUUCUUCUUUCCACCACCAUUGGCAGCAGGCUUUACAGCAGUUAUCGGGCGAGCCAACGCCUCGUCCUUAAUCCGCUUUAUCUCUUCCCUCGAGGGCAGGCCAUCAUUUUCCCAACGAAGAGGGUUGAGCAGCCAGCGCCACUUAUGGUACUUAGCAGGAAUACCCAAGUCACCGUGUACUUUCUUCAUAUCUGCUGAAGUCUUUGGAGUUGAAUCAAAUUUUGAAUCUACGCAAAGUAAGUAGGGAUGGCAACGGUUCGGUUUGGGGACGGAAAUACUAUAUCUAUCCCCAUAACCACGAAAAUUAACGAUAUCUAUAACCGCAAAUUAACCAUCAGGUAUUAUCCAUAAUCAUACCCACCGAAUAACGGAUUCCCCAUCGGUUAACAGUUAUAUCCAUCUUUGACAAUACAAAAAAUAUAUUUGUUCAAUUAAUGCAUGAUAAUUUAGUAAAUAUUAAUUUCCUCAUUAAAUAUUUGAUGUAUAAAAUGAUUUGAUGAAUGGAUCUUGUGAAGCAUAAAAAUUAAAGUUAAACGUUGAUGAUGUUGGCUGAUCUUUGAUAUCUCCCAUAAGUACCAUUGAAUUCUCAUAGAUUUUUAUUCAUAUCAAGACUUAUGAACUUUCCCACAAAAGGCAACUCACAUAAUGCAAUUUUUGUAUUUACACUCAAACUAAGGGAUUUGGCGAAUAAUAAAUAUACAUAUGUGUGUGUGUGUGUGUGUAUUUUAAUACUUUAAUAUUAUAUAUUAUUUGGUUCGAAUUCGGGGACAGAUAUAAAUUGAGGACCCCUAUAACCAUAUACAAAACCAUAACAAAAUAAUAUUCACGGUUUUUCCCCAUACCCAAAAUAUACCCGAAUUUUCAUAUCCAAAUCCAAUCCAUUCGGCCGAUUAUCCACGAUUAUCGGGUUUAACGGUAAGAAUUGUCAUCCCUAGUAAAGGGCCACUUGUAGGGAUGACAACGGUUUGGUUUGGGUACGGAAAUGAUAUAUGCAUUCCCAUAACCACAAAAAUUAACCAUAUCCAUAACCGCAAAUUAACCAUCGGGUAUUAUCCAUAACCCUCCCUAUUAGGUAACGGAUUUCCCAUUGGUUAACGGGUAUAUCCAUCUUCAUCAAUACAAAAAAUAUAUUCGUUCAGUUGAGACAUUAUAAGUUAGUAGAUAUUAAUUUCGUCAUUAAACAUUUUAUGUAUAAAAUGAUCCAAUGAAUGAAUCUUGUUGAGUAUUAAAAUAAAAACACUGAUGAUGUUGGCUUGUCUUUGAUAUCUCCCACAAGCACCAUUGAGUUCGCAUUGAUUUUGAUUCAAAACUUUACUUUCCUACAAAAUGCAACUUUUGUAUCCUCAAGGUAAUGGUUCGGUGAAUAAUGGAUAUACAAAUACAUAUGUACAUAUAUAUACAUAAAUAUACAUAUGUACAUAUAUAUACAUAAAUAUACAAUAUAUAUAUAUAUAACAUAAAUACAUAAUACAUAUGUAUAUAUACAUAUGUACAUAUAUAUACAUAAAUAUACAUAUGUACAUAUAUAUACAUAAAUAUACAUAUGUACAUAUAUAUACAUAAAUAUACAUAUAUACAUAUAUAUACAAUAUACAUAUAUACAUAUAUAUAUAUACAUAUAUAUAUAUACUAUUAUACUAUUAUACUAUAUAUAAAUUAUAUUAUUUACUAAUCGGGUCGAAUUCGGUUAUGGAUACGGUUUGGGGACCUCUAUAACCAUAUCCAAAACCAUAACUAAAUAAUAUAAACGGUGUUUCCCCAUAUCCAUAAUAUACCCAAAUCCGUUCCAUUUGGACGAUUAUCCACGAUUAUCGGGUUUAACGAUUAAAAUUGCCAUCCCUAAAAGUAAGAAGGACAAAUUGAAGUCACGGAGCAGCUCAACAAAAAAUUCAAGCAGGACAAGAAUGAGGCAGUUCACUUACCACUGAUAAAGGUAGUCGGGACACGCAUCUUAGGAGAAGAGUCAGACUCCCACUCCCCACUCACCUCCAAUGUGUCUCUCGCCCACUCAUGAUUGCCUUUGCUAGAAGCAUCAAGCAGCUUAUGGCAAGACCGCAGUUGCCCUACACCUUCCUUGUUGCCAAUCUUAAAGAAGUACCAUAACUCAUUUAUGGUCAAGCCAAGAUCAAAGAACCUGCUCAAGUUCGAGAACCCCACCAUUGCACGAAUUGCAUUUGGAGAACACUGAGCAGGCAUGCAUUUCAUGGAGCAUAUCACCUCCUGGAAAAGAUACGGCAUGGGGGGAGGCCCACGCCCCUUUCCCCUCUUUCUUUCACGCCCAGUGCACCCCAAGGCAGGCCCAGGCUUCUUGGCCUAGGUCGCGCACGCAAGAUAGCGGACCCACUUCGGUCUUUCUCCCUCUCUUCUCGCCUGCAUGGGCUCGUGUCCAACAACCUUGAAGACCCGACCCAAGCCGAUUUCCCAGCACCCCAGCGCGCCAAUCCUCUUGGCUCGAGCUGAGCCGUCCACCUGGCCUAGGCUAGUCGACCCGUGCCACGCCACCAAGCAGCCCCGAGGCUCCCAUGCCAUGUGUUACCCACACCCACGGCCCUCGCAAUGCCAAUUUUUGAAGUCCCAAGACUCCCAAAAAAUUCAAGAAGAAGAAAAUUCAAAAUUUUCUUACCUUGGUGUGGCACGGAGAAGAAGAACAACGAGAAAUGACUCUUUGCAAGGCCCUAGCCCUAUAAAUACCUCAUAUUCUACCACAUUUUGUGAGCUUUUGCAACACUAAAAAAGCCCUAAACACUUUACUCUCUCAGAGAAACUAACUUAGACAUCGGAGAUCCGUUGAUCUAACCCCCCCACUUUAUGGGCGAGUGAGGCUUAGGUCUUUGAUCAAAUGUGUUGAUUGUUUUGCAGAUACAUUUUCGUUAAGACUAAAGACAGGGGAAAUUUGCAUCGACAUCGAGCAUGGCUAAAACGCCAAGGGCUAGGAAAACUAAUGGAAUUGCGCCGAUGCCGAGCAUGAUCCUCCAGUUCAAGUGGAUUAGGAGCUUGGCUAAGGCAAAAUUGGAUACGUACCCAGUUAUAUACCAACGUUAACAAACACCUACACAUUUUUCAAAAUGAUCAAUUCUAUUAAUAUAAACUCCACAUGCAUGCACGUGAGAGGUUUACGAAACAAUAAAUAUUUUAGGAAAAUCUAGGGAGAAUAUUUUUAUAUCACAUUUGUGUACUAUAUGAAUUGACAAGUGAUGUAUACAUGUCACGUCAAUAAAUAAAUUUAUCACAUUCGAUAUUAGUUGCAUACAUUACUUGCCACAUAAGAUGAUACAUAAAUGUGAUAUAAAUAUGUAGUUGGCCUAUCAUUACUCAAUCUUUUAUUGAGCAUUAUUCUUUACAAAGAAAAAUGUUAGGGAUACCACAUUUUGGUACUAUAUUUGUGUAUCAUCUGAUGUGGCAAAUGAUGUAUAAAUGCCACAUCAAUUAAUACAUUUAUCUUAUUGAAUCUUGAUUAUAUACAUAAAUUGUCACAUUAAAUGUUACAAUAAUGUGAUAUAAAUGUAGUUUCCUUAGCAUUAGUUUUACAGAUACUUAGAUACCUAUAUUUAUGUGAACAUAUUACCUUGGCUAAUAACAAAAAAAGUUUACUAUAUUAUAUGAUAAUAUAACGUGGUAACGAAACAAACCUCAGGGAAAGAUGUGAGGAAGCUACAAAACGAGGCUGGAGAAAUCUCGGCGGUGUAGAUAUGAGCUAUCAUAAGAGCGUAACCAACUCCAAUUCCGGCAAUGAAUCUCCCGAACAUGAGGAAGGCAUAGUUGGGGGCAAAGCCCAUGAGGAAAGCUCCAACAAAGAAGAUUGUUUGAUAGGGAUUUUACCACCUGCAAAAGUAGGGAUAAAAACACUUUAAAAUACUUGCAAGAGUACAAGGUUAUCGUAGUAUAGCAGCUCAAGCAAGGUCGAUCUCCACAGGGAUUGAAUGAAUAAUUUAUGUUAAAACCAAAUCUUAAUUAAUUAUUUGAAAACAAAGUUUAGAAAAAGAUGAAUUUAUGAUCUAAAAUAUUAAAAAUGAAUUUAAUUAAAAACAAUUAAAUAAAUUGGGAAAAUAAAUAAAACAAAAGAAAAUAGUUUUGAAAAUAAAAUUUGAGCACUAGGGUUCCGCCGUUACCUUAACAAUCCUACGUAGUUCUUUCAAUUACUUAUGAAUUACACAUGCAUAUUUUGAAGGUUAGGUUUUCCUAAAGUAUGCCCUACUUGGAACCUCCAACAUAGAAUGUAUAUCUAACAUGCAACCCGUCCGUGGCGUCCAGAGCGAAUGUGAACAUGCAAGACUCAUGAAGUUUUGUGAAAACCUUUUGAAAAACCAUAUAACUCUUAAAACGUGUCAUCCAUUCUAAGAAGUUACACAUAUUAAUCACAAGAAGCCAGAGCCAAUUUCAGGGACAGCCCUCAGCCAAAAUUGCAUCAAAUUACUUUUCUAAAUAUCCUAAUGGUGGCCAAUCAUCAAGACAAUUAGAUAGUUUAAAGAACAGUGAUUAAUAAUUCAAAACUUGCAUGCAUAAUAUCAUAAGUAAAUUAAAAAGAAACUACAUAUUCUUGCUAAAGCUCAUGGCCUCGCCUUAGCAAACAAAACUAGUUACGAACAAUCAUAAAACAAAAUAUUAUUAAUAACAUGGAUAAAAAAACACCUUGAAAGUAAACUUGAAUCCAAAAGCUCUCUAAAGCCAAAAUAUUGCGUUCUCUCCCCUCUCCAAUGUUGCGUCCGUUCUCACCUUUUAACGUAAUGGCUAAAUAUCUUAUUUAUACUAAUACAAAAUAAAACCCUAAAAGGUCUUAGAAUAAAACUAGGAAACAUAAUCCUAAAUUAACUUGGUAAAUUCGCCCAAAAAUCUGCACAGCCACGUUUUGGACCCAAAUGAGCUCCAAAACUGGCCCAAAAUAGCUGGAUCUAAAGCUUGGACUAUUCUGAACACUUCUCCAAAAGGCCACGAACCCAUCUAAGGUCAUAUUGGGCUCCAAAAAUGCAAUUUAAGCCCAUAAAUGUCACUUUCUAGCAACGCGUACUGCUCAUUCAUUUAAAUCACUCUAAAAUUCGUUCCAAAAAAUAACCGUUUGGUAGAAAUUUCUGAGAUUUUGACAUGAACAAGCUAAGGAACACAUGAACGUCCUCCAAUUUGAAUCACUCUAAAAUUCGUCCGUUUGGUCACGUUUUGCUCCAGAUGAAGUCGAACCUAUGUUGAAAAUAUAAAGCAAAGUAUCAAAAUUCUACCAAAAUAAUCAAUAAAUUAAUACGAAGAAUAGGGUAAAAUAUAUAAUAAAAUAUUGACUCAUCAUUGUUCCCGCUAGUACUAUGGUGUACCGCCGUCCAAUCCAGUCAGAGGUUUUACCAGCUAGGGCGGAGCUAAUGAGAGAGUAUAUAUUCAAAGUACCGUUAAGAACUUCGACUUGAACGUCGCUGAUCUUGAGGUUUUCUUUGAUGAAUAGAGACGCUCCACUCAUUACACCAAUAUCUGUAAAUAAAAUUGAAAUUAACAUGCAUCGCAAGUGGAGAAGUUUCUUCCAAACAAAAAGAGUAGGAAUUGAGAAUGGUGGAUUGCAAUAGUAAGAUAAUAUUAAAAAUCAAAUAAGAACUGGAGUGGAGAAUGAGUUUAUCAUUAGAGAACCACAACCACUAACGAUAUACAUGAGUUUUAAGGAACAAUUAACAUAACCUAGUAAGAUACAUGUCAUUGAAGCCAAAACGGCACAGGCAACAGCAAACUUUUUUUGUCUUGGGUUUCUUUGGGGGAUCGAAGUCUGCAAUACUAUAUUCUGCGGUUGGCCGGAGACGACGUUAUUUUCUGCUCUCUGGUCAGCCAUCUCCAUCUCUAUAGAGCUAGAUAAAUGGAUGGAUGGAUAGAUAGAGAGACAAAAAAUAACUUAUCAGAGAGAAAUGAAGAGAUCACUUAACAGACAGAGACAGAGAGAGAGAGAGAGAGAGAAAGAGAGAGAGAGAGAGAGAGAAUUAUAUAUGAAAAAUGAGCUAUUAAUCAAGUACUAUUUAUACAUAUUAUAUCCAUUUGUCCGAAAUAUUGCUGUUCAUGGAAACAAACACCGUUAUCCACUAUUGUCAUCAAUCAAUGAAUAGAUUCGAAUUUAUCUUAAUUCUAGAACACAAUUUAGUUAAUUAGUUCUUAUCUACCAAAGCAGCAAAUUAAAAAACUGUGAAAUAUGGUUCCAUAUAUAAUGCCAUUUCAGGCACGCAACUAUACAUGCGCAAAAACUAUGAGAUAUUGUUCCAUAUAUAAGAAAAGUGCUCGAUGAUCUGAGCGUAUUCCAUUUGAUGGUUUCACUAGUAGAAAAAACACUUUGCACGACGAAAACUUGCGUGAUGCAGCCAAAUUCGUCGCGCAAAGUAUGUUUGCGCGACGUUAAACACAAAAUGUCAUGCAAACGACCUUUGCGCGACGGAGACCGACGUCAUGCAAAAGUGUUUUGUGCGACAUAAGUUCACUUACGUCACGCAAAAUUGUUUUGUGUGACGGAGACCGACGUCGCGCAACUUGCCGUCGCACAAAGGCCGUUUGCGCGACGUUUUGUGCAUCCCGCAAGAUUUUGGCGCCAAAUAUAGAUAGCUUUACCGCUUUUUUUAUUGACUUUGCGCGACGCAAGGCCACCUACGUCACGCAAAACAGCUUUGCGUGACGCAUGUUCACCUACGUGACGCAAAACAAUUUUGCGACACGCAACCUACGUCACGCAAAACAGCUUUGCGUGACGUAGGUGAACAUGCGUCACGCAAAGUUGUUUUGUGUGACGUAGGUGGCGUCGCGCAAAGUCAACGACCUUUUCUUACUUCACUUAAUCAGUUUGGGAGGUAGAAACUGAAAACUAGUUGCAGCAGCUACCGCCCUCCCCCAUCUCUCUUUAAAACCUUCUCCAAUUCUCUCCCUUCCUCAAUCUUUUUCUAUCCGGUAAGCGAUUUGAUUUUGUAUAUGUAACUUUGAAUUGAGAAUUCAAACUAAAACUACUAAAUUUGUUUUGUACAGGAUUUUUGUAUACGAUUAUCAUUGAAGAACGAAUUUGAAGGUAUUUUCUUCAUGUUGCAUAUGGGAUUUUUGUAUAUGUACCUUUGCCUACUUGCUAUGCCCUUUUUUGGUAAUGGUUUGAGUUUUGUGAGAUUGAAUUUUAAAGUAAUCUUUAUUAAUUUUACCUAUUAGGUACCUUUGCCUACUUGCUAUGCCCUUUAGUAAUCUUUAUUAAUUUUGCAUAUGGGUUAACUUAUAUUUUUACAUAGAAGAAAUUGUAAGAAAUGUUGGUUUCCCCUUAAAAUUUCCUUAAUUUGUGCUAUACGGUUGAAUUGAGGGUAAAUCCAAUGCACCGCAGGUAAUUAAGAAUUAUAUAGAAAACCUACAAAAGCCAUGAACUUCAAAGCUAAUCUCAUCAUCACUAUUAAAUUCUCAAUGCUAAGACAACAUGUUUUAGUUCAAUAAUGAGGGGGUUGAUUUUUGUGAGCAUAUGCCAUACUUAUGUAGAUAAACAAUGGCUAUGAUUCUCCUAUUAAAUCCUUGUAGAAAAUUAAUAUCGUCUUCCAAUUUUAAUACAAGUAAGUAAUUCAGGAUUCAUUUUCAGUCUCAAUCCUUUGUAAACUUGAAGGCAACCAAAACAUCUUUCAAUAAGAUUUUUUAAAACCAAUAUCUAGCCAAAAAACACGUACACUUGUGUUCAUAUUCUAACAAUACAUUUAUCUCACCACCAAAAUUACUCGAGUGCAACUAACUAGAAUAUGUAUAUUCUUUGAUAUAAUUAGUAUAAACAAAUAAAAACUAAGGCCAUCAACAUUAUAGUUUAGAAGUAUUAAUAUUUUGUAUCUAUUUUAUUUAGUUUCACUAGUUAUUGUGAUUUAAUUUAUUUGUAUGCACAUAUUUUUGUACAUCACGUACAAAAUUGUUUUGUGUUGUACGAAGUUAAUACUACUUAACUUUGUACACUUUUUUCAAGAAAAACUUAGUUUCCCGUUUGAGAAUUACUUGGAUUUCGUGCAUGGAUGCAAAAGCAUGACUGCGGUCCAAUUAAUUCUUGAAUUGUCCCAUUUUUUGGACAGUUUGGGAAUGCAUAGUUAUGUGUUGUAGUUUGCGGUUCAUGGAUUAGGUUUCGAAAGUGGAAAUUUGGUAACAUUUCCUGAUGUUCUUCUAGUACACGGUGGAUAUUAUGUAUUUACGGCGUGCACUUGAAGAACUGUAAGGAGAUGCUGUCGAAAUUUGCCCGAGUCGAAAUUUCAUCCAUUGGAAUUGUAGAUUACAGCACAUAACUUUGCAUUCCUGAAUGGGAUAAGGCCCUUACCGGAGGAAUAAGGUGACAAGACAAUAGUUGAAGUUGUUGUAAUUCUUGUUCUUUUAUUAGGAUUGCAGACAAAAUGGACAGACAGUGGAUACAGAAUCAUAAUAGAUGUGUUGUUGAGUACUUGGAUGGAAUAGAUGAGUUCAUUAAAUUCGCAACUAGACACAACCUAGGUUCAACUCAUAUCCGAUGUCCGUGUAGGAGGUGUAACAACUCAAUGAGGGAGACAUUCGAAAAUGUUCGAUUUCAUUUAGUAAGAAAUGGGAUGAUGGAGACCUAUACUACUUGGUAUCAUCAUGGAGAACGAUUAGACCAACCUUCGUCUUCAUAUAUGACACGAGUGGAGACUGUUGAAUCUAAUGUGGAUCCUAAUGAACAAGUUAUGGAUAUUCUAAAUGACGUUUAUCCAUACGCCUCGACCAACACCAAUGAGGAAGGGGGAGAUGACAGUCGUCCAACCAUGGACAGUGAGGCAUUCAAAAAAUAUGAAAAACUAUUGAAAAAUGCCAAGCAAGAAUUAUAUUCGGGUUGCGAGAACUUUUCGGUGCUUAUGGCAAUUGUGGAGUUGAUGCAUGGCAAGAUCAAGUUUCAUUUGUCAAACAAGUGUUUUGAUUACUUUUUGGGAGUUAUCAAGAGGAUGCUUCCAAAGGACAAUUGUUUACCUGAAGAUCAUAAAAGUGCCCAAAAAGUGUUGAAGGGUCUCAGAUUGGGGUAUGAAAAAAUUCACGCAUGUGUAAAUAAUUGUAUAUUGUUCUAUAAGGAGAACAUACAGUUGGAUAAAUGCCCUGUAUGCAAUGAGCCGAGGUUUAAAAUGACAUCGCAGAAUAGAAAGACCAAGAUUCCACAAAAAGUAAUGCGUUAUCUUCCAUUAAAGCCUAGGUUGCAGCGAUUGUACAUGUCGAUGCAUACGGCAAUCGAUAUGAGAUGGCAUAAAGAAAGACGAGUAAAUGACGAUGUGAUGAGGUAUCCUGCAGACGGAGAGGCAUGGAAAGAAUUUGAUCGGAUGUACCCUGAUUUUGCAGCUGACCCGCGAAACAUAGAUUGGGACUUGCCACCAAUUGAUUUAAUCCGUUCGGGGUUCUAAACCAAACCCACAGCACUUGGCCGGUCGUCGUGUUUCCUUAUAAUCUGCCACCUUGGAAGUGCAUGAAAAAAGAAUACAUGAUGUUGACUCUAUUAAUUACCGAAGAUCCAAGAAAAUCCAUUGAUGUUUAUUUGCGACCAUUGGUUGAUGAGGUAAAAGAUUUAUGGUAAAACAGUGUUCGUACAUACGAUAAGUCUACUGGGCAUAUGUUCACCAUGCGAGCAGCAGUGAUGUGGACAGUAAACGAUUUUCCCUCGUAUGCCAUGGUUUCUGGGUGGAUGACUAAAUGUUAUUUGGCAUGUCCAAUAUGCAAGGAGAACGUGAUAGGAGCAUAUUUAUGUGACUUAGUUAGCUUGUUUCUUGGCAUUUAUGUUGUUUUCCUUAGUUAUUUUAGUGUUUAAAGUCAUUUUCGUGCAAUUUUAGGUUCUAAGGACAAAGUAUGCAAAAAGAUGCAUUUUGGAGCCUUUUGGAGCAGUUUUGGACAUCAAAUGGAUUGCACAUGCUUGGAGCUAAGAAGAUGGACGAAAUUGAAGAUCAAAUGAGCGUAGGAUUGAAUGAAGAUGUGAAGAAUUGGAUUCAAGACAAAUAAAGAAUGAAGAGUUCAAAAUUGGAAGCCAAAGUUUCUAAAGUUGGAAGUUUCUAUUCUUGGAGGUUUCCAUUCUUGAUGGUUUCCAUCUUUGGCUCUAAACUUUCCUAAUCCUAACUCACCUAUGUUCCAGCCACAAAAGGGUUUCAAAACAUGUUAGGUUGCCUAAUUACAUGUUUCUAGAAGUCCUAGAACUUACCCUAGAUAUUGCCGCACCAUCCCUUUAAUUUCUAGUUCUUUGUUGCACAAGACACAACCUUUCUUUUCUAUUUUCUACACCUAAACCACAUUCCUGUUUUGUUCCAUCCCUUGUUGCACAAGGGAGAGAUCCUCCUUCCUAUUUUAUGUCCUAAAACGUAUUUCCUUUUCCCUGAAACCCUAUGCCGCACCCUACAUCUAUUCUUACCUAUUUUGUGCCUCAAAACACAUUCCUAAAUAUGUCCUACAAAUUCUGCCGAAUUUCCCUUUCCUUUUCUCUUUAAUUCCUGCACCUUUCUUGCCUAUUUUCUGACCUAAAAUCACAUUCCUUUUCCUACAUAAAUCCUUCCCUAAAACCACUUCAAAUUCGUAGCCCUUCUUUCCCCUAUAAAUAAAGGCCCUUGCUGACCAUUCUAACCACUCCACCCUUCACCACAACCUACCUACAUCCAUCCACCACCAUAAUUCACCACAAAUCAUCACCAAACACCCUUGUGUCGCAGCAAAGAAGAAAGAAGGAGACCCUUGGACGUGCUUGCCAUUCAAGACGUUGGAUUGUUGGAGCGUUUCUAGGUGUUUUCAUUCUUUGUUUUCAAUGUCUAAAUUUAUGUAUCUUUGUUUUGCGUUUAUGAGGAACUAAGCCCUUCUUGGCUAGGGGGCUAUUCAAAACCAUGAUUAUAUUUGCAUUAUGAAUUGAUUACCUUCAGUUGUUAUUUCAUAAGUUGUGAAUUCAAUUUGCUUAACCGUUUGAUUGAUAACUUAUUCUUGUAUGUUUAUUAAGAGUGCACACUUAGUUUUCAUGCAAGGAUUUGAAGCUAAAAUAUAAGGGAGUUUCACCUAAUAGUUACAAACUUAUAUUUGCAAGUAGUGGAGGUCGCUUAUAAACGAUCGUGUUAAGUGAAUUCUUGGCAAAAGUUUCAUGCUUUUCAUAGUAACAAUUGCCUCAUCAAUGCUUAUAGUUUUCAUGAAACUUAAUGAUCUUUGAUUGUACCUUUAUUGUGCUUUUCACGUAGGGGACUUUUAGAGAAUGCUUUGAAUUGUUGUAUGCGCUUUCCCAUCCAAUUCAAUAACUUAAGGAGAACUUGAAGGUUAAUUUAAGCGGACCUAAUUAACCUGGGGUGCUGAGUUUCAUGAUUUAUUGAACGAACAACUGAAAAUUGGUUUGUAUGCAAGUGUGUCAUGUGUGGAGAAGAACCCUCUAGUUGAUCUAUCACCCAUCAAUUUACUUAACUUUGUCUAAAAAUCUGUUUACUUUGUUCUUGUUUUGUUUUAUUUAUUUUCGUCCAAAAUCAACACCAUCUUAUUUCUUUGAGUCAUAUUAACUAGAACUUGUCUUAGAAUAUGUUUUUAGGUGUUUUAGGUCAUUAGAAAACCAAAAUUCGUCCAAGUUGUGUUAGAGUCCCAAAACUGCCCAGAAAGUGGUUUUUAGGCAGUUUUGAGUGUUUGUUUGCUAUUUUGAGUCUUUUGGUUUGUUUUAAUGUUUUAGAGUUUAGUUUUGCAUUCUUUGAGUCUAGCUUAGUAUUUUAAACUUUGUUUUACAGAUUUAAGUCAGUUUAGAGUAGAUUAGCAAUCCCUCAUAAUCCCCGGUCCAGAACGAUCCCUACUUAUCCAUACUACAAUUGUCAACAAGAGGGUUUAAUUUGUGUGUUAAGUUAAUUUACGCAUCAGAACGUAACAUCAUCUUGGCAUGUGAGAAAAGUUUGUUAUCUUGGUCAUCAUAGAUGGCUCCCUUGGGACAACGAGUGGCGUCACAACGAUAAAGUUUUCCACGGCACAAAAGAGACUCAACCAAGACCAAGAGAAUGGUCCGGAGAUGAGAUUUUGGAUCAGUUAAACCAUUUAGAAUUUGGUCAUUUUGGCAAAGGGGUCAGUAAGCCUAGACCAACUACACAUCUGAAUUGGACGCACAAGAGUAUGUUAUUUGAGCUCCCAUACUGGUCAAAGUUAAAAUUGAGACACAAUCUUGAUGUUAUGCAUAUUGAGAAAAAUGUGUUUGAUACUUUGGUCGGGACAAUUCUAGACAUUGAAGGAAAAACGAAGGGCACAAUCGAAGCUCGCCUCGAUUUGGAACGAAUGGGCAUUAGAUCAUCCUUGUGGAUGAAAAAAGUUGGUGGUACAUUGAAGAAAGGCUAUCCUUUUUUUACAGUUAAGCCGAAUGGGAAGAAAGAGUUUUUCAACUUUAUUUCUUCUGUAAAGUUUCGAGAUGGGUAUGCUUCCAAUAUCUCGUGUUGUGUGAACGUAAGUGGGUGUAAAUUUUCAAACAUAAAGAGUCAUGACUGUCAUGUGAUACUCCAACGCCUUCUACCGGUUGGUAUUCGACAUUUAUUGCCUAUUGAUGUGGUGAAACCAAUAGUGUUGUUGUCGAGAUUUUUUUCACAGUUAACUGCAAGGUGUUUACGGAAGUCGGAUGUUAAACAAUUGCAGGACGACAUUGUGAACGUCUUAUGUAAGUUCGAACAAAUAUUUCCUCCAGCUUUCUUUACAAGUAUGAUUCACGUGAUGAUUCACUUGCCAAAUGAGGCAUUGCUUGCCGAACCAGUCAAUUGUCGAUGGAUGUAUCCAAUAGAAAGGUACUUAAUUAAGCAUAUAUAUAUAUAUGAAUCUGUUAUAUAUAUAUAUAUAUAUAACAGAUUCAUGAUCAACGAACGCUUUGAAUAAUUUGUAUCAUACCUUUUAUUUGUCCAGAUAUCUUGGUGAGUUGAAAAAGUCCGUCUGAAAUAAGACAAAGGCCGAAGGAUCACUUGUGGAAGCAUGGGUCGCAUAUGAGUCACUUACUUUUUGUGGAAUGUAUCUUCAAGAUGUUGAGAUAGCUUUCAAUCGCCCUCAACGCAAUAAUGAUAGUGGUGUCAGAAAAGAGAAACUGUAUGUUUUUGCCCAAAUUGCAUGACUAUUCGGCGAUCCUGUAAAAGGUGAAUCGUUUACUAAAAAGGACAUGGAGGUAGCGCAUUGGUUCAUACUCAACAAUUGUGACGAGGCUUUGCCAUACCUUGAACAACAUGAACAGUUGAUGAAGCGGGAACAUCCUUCACAUUUAUAUGCCAAGAAGCACCGUGAAUUGUUUCCUUCGUGGUUUCACAAACAUGUAAGUUGUAUGUGUUUUGAAUUGAGCAUUUUUUCCAAAUUGUUCAUGGCCAUCUUUAAAUUUGGUUUCACUAACAUGUUAACUUUUUGUAUAUGUUAUAUUAGAUGAAGGAAUUGAAGGAAUUGAAGGAAUUGAAUUCACCAUCUUACGAUGAAGAAUUAUAUAACUUGGCGAGAGGACCGCUUCACGUUGAAUUGUUCUCAAGUUGUCAUGUCAACGGGAUCAAGUUCUUGGGGGCAACACGUGAUGACAAGUUGUGUACUCAAAAUAGUGGUGUCCACGUCCUGGGUGCUGGCGAUAGUGAAGACAUUGAUUUUUAUGGCAAACUAACUAGUGUAAUACAAUUGCUUUACAAAGACAGAUGUCAAGUGAUACUGUUUAAGUGUUUUUGGUUUGAUACAAACCCACAUAACCGCACGAGUGUUAAGCGAGACCAUGGUUUACUAUCAGUAAACACUACCAAAUGUUGGUACGAUGAAGACCCAUACAUUUUGGCAACUAUGGCGAAACAAAUAUUCUAUCUAGACGACCCUAAAGCCGGCAAUGGUUGGAAAGUUGUUCAGAAGAUUGAUUGAAGAGGGCUAUAUGAUAUUCCGGAACUAGAUCAUGAUGACAACGACAACAAUGUCGCUGACCAACAUUUUUCAUCUUUGAUAGAAAUUGGUGAAGAAACACUACGGGAUACUAAUGUUGUCCCAUAACCAUUUGAAGUAAUUCCGAAAAUGAUAGUAGUGAGGAUAGCGAGAGUUAUUACUGUAGUUCGGAUGAGGAUUAAUAUAAACUUGUAAAGGAAAAAACCAGGGGGCUAAGGAGAGGCAAAGUCAAACUAAAAAAGGCAUGGGAAGAAUCUAAUCGUGAUCGUUUGAAGGUAUUCUCCAUUUUUUACCAAUCUGAACAACGAAGUACAAGUUAUUUAUACUCAUUAUAGGUUAUAUUUAUGCAGAUAUGAUAGUAUUUAUGCGCAUUCGGUUUUGAAGCUGCAUUUUGUUUUAGCAUUUAAUCAUUUGCUUUUAUUAUGAAUUAACCUGUUCAUUUUGGAUUCACUUCAUUUGGAUCAAGUGUAGAGGUCCACAUAGACUAAAUUAUUCAGAGUUCUAUGUAUUUACUUAUGUUUGUUCACUUCAUUUGGAUCAGGUUAUAUUUAUGCAGAUAUGCUAGUAUUUAUGCUCAUUCGGUUUUGAAGCUGCAUUUUGUUUUAGCAUGUAAUCAUUUUCUUUUAUUAUGAAUUGACAUGUUCAUUUUGGAUUCACUUCAUUUGGAUCAGGUCUAGAUGUCCACAUAGACUAAGUUCUGCCGUGAUUGAUGUUGCAUUCUUUGUUGCAAGUCUGUAAACUCGUCAUGUGCAGGUUAUGAUUACAUUCGAUGCGAAACAUUGAUGCAUGAUGGUAGCAUAUGUGGGCAUGCUGCCCACAUUGAUUGUGCCCUGUGAUGUUACAUGGCUGGCACUGUAGGAGGAAGCAUUGGCUUGGAUUCUGAAUACUAUUGUACGCGCUGUGAUGAAAAAACAGAUUUGGUUUCAUAUGUCACAAGGCUUUUACUUGCUUGCGAAUCUCUUGAUUCUCGAGAUGAUGUUGAGAAGAUUUUAAAUUUUGGUAUCUGCAUUUUGCGUGGUUCACAGAAAACCAGUGCAAGGGACCUGCUGAAACGUAUUGAAGUGGCCAUUGAAAAGGUAAAUAUAGUAGCUUCACAGUAUUUAGACUCCCACACUUACACUUCCUAAAAUUCUGGCAAUAUAACAUUUCUAUUUUAAGCAGCUCAAAUGUGGGACUAAUCUUGAAGAUAUUGGCUUGUGGUCGAUUAUGAAGGAUAAUAUUGGCUCCUUCUCACAUAUAACAUUUCUGUUUCUCCAUUAACGCUCUGCUUCCAAAGCUCACAGAGAAAAGAAAACCCACCAAGACCCACCUCUCACAUCUUGUUGGUAUGCACUCAACUUCCCUCUAUCUGUUCCUUGUUUUGUUUGUGGGGUUUCCUUCUUUGAAUGGUUUUUCCUCUUGGGUUGUUGUGUUUUGGGAUUCUCAAGCUGAUUAAUCGUCUAGCAAUUUCAGCUCAAUGAUCAACAGGGAUUAUGGCCUCUUCUUUUUUGCUUUGGGUUUUAGUUGAUUAUAUGUAAAGCUGGAUUCUAGAACUCAAUUAAAUGUACAAGAACAGCAAAAAAGUGACACAACUUGCAUAAAACAUUAGUUACUUUGAUCUAUCGUGUUUUAGGCUGCCUAGUUCACCUGUUUUCUCAAACAAGAUUGUCUCUACUAGUCAACCUUAAGCAUUGAAAACGUAGGUAUUCUUGGCCUUUAUGUUCGUCUUCGAUUACGAUCUGUUUGGUUUAACUUUUCUGCACUAAUUUGAUUAUUUAUAUAUUGGUGGUGUUACUUUUGUUUCAAAUUUUCCCUUUCUUAUUUUUUUUAACUUUUGGUCCAAUGGUUUUUAAUCGUGUAAAUUUUGAUGCUUUCUUGUUGUUGUCUCGUUGCCAUGAUUGAUCCCUUGAAGUCUUGUUGAUUGCAUUUAGGCAUCUUUCUCUAGCCUUUCUCUGGGAGCGAUUCAAAAUAUGUUUAUUAGCACCUCAUCAAUAGUAUAUAUGAAGAAGUUUAGCGAUUCAAAAUCUGGUUUACAGGUUUCUUCAAUUCGUGCCAACAAAUCAGAUGAUAAACGGCUUUCCAUAUUCACAGGAACUAAAACUCUUCACUUGAGAUGUGUGACCAGAGAGGACCGAGCUACAUGGAUUGAGGCACUGCUCGGUGCUAAAGAUCUUUUUCCCUAGAGUGUUUAUGAGCAAUGAUUUGGUACCUUCGGAAGAUAUAGUUGUUUCGACAGAGAAGCUAAGACUAAGAUUAGCACAAGAGGGAAUUGGUGAGCCGGUGAUCAAAGACUGCGAGUCAAUUAUGCUCUUAGAAGUGUUAGAGCUUCAAAAUCAGAUGAAGGGUCUUCAGCGUAAACAUGUGAUGUUGUUGGAGUCAUUGAGGCAAUUAGAGGUAUUUCAAUGCAUUUAAUCACUAAGUUGCUUCUUUACACAUGUGCUGCAAUAAGGGGUGGUGGAAAUCUUGCUAGUCGGAAAGUAAAUCCCUAUCUAAAUUUCCUUUUGCAGACAGAAAAAAUAGAGCUGGAAACUACAGUAAUGGAUGAAACAAAGGAGCGUGAGUCAUACGGACAGGGGAAUGGGAGAUUUAGUGGUUAGUUAUCUUUCCAUUAUCUUAGUAUUUUGUUAAACUCAUUGUUUUCACAUAUGAGAAAGCUUGGGAAAAGGUAUACAAUAGAGAAUCUUUCUUUUUGAUUAAGUAAAGAAACAUAAUUUGAUAUGAAUUAUUUUAUCUUCAGAUGCUCUAAGAAGUGCUUCCUGUUGUAUAUUUGAAAGAGAUUCUUUCUUUUCUGGUAGAUUGCAUGGAGUUGAGGAGAUCAAGACAAUUAAAUAACCAUAUGUGAAAAGGAAGGAUGAUUUGCCACAACCCAAGGAGAAAGAGAAGCAUAUCGGCUUGUGGUCGAUUAUGAAGGAUAAUAUUGGGAAGGACUUGUCUGAAGUUUGUCUUCCUGUUUAUUUUAAUGAACCACUCUCAUCGUUGCCAGAUUGAUGAAUACUUUUGAUGAAUACUUUUGGUUGGUCCUUCAAGAUUGAUGAAUACUUUUGGUGGGUAUCAAUCAAUAUAGUAUAUAUUGAUGAAUACUUUUGGGGUUUAUUAUUAAUUCUUUAGAAUUUCAUUACAAUAUUUCUUAAAAUUUAAAUCAAAAAUAUUUUUGUCAAAAAAACAAUCAUCAAAACCGGAGCUCAAACUAUUGUUAAAUCGUGAUUUUUUGUUUGCAACAGUCAAAAUAUUUUGUCCCGUUACUUGAUCUCUGCAUGUUUAUUUUUUGAGAUUUUUGGCGUAUGUGAUCUCAAAGCAUAUAAAAACAAGUUUGACGGUUGGAUCGUUGAAAUUAAUUUCGUACAAUGCGUUUCCCAUCAAAACGAUUAAUUUACUAACACUUAGAGUUUAAUUAUAUUUUCAUUAAGUAUAACUUAAGAUUUUGUGGUAUCCACUUCUGUCAAUACUUUAAAUUGACGAUCGAAUUAGUUCAUUGUAUUAAUAUAGGGGCAAGGAAUUUAUCUGUAAAAAAUCAUCCAAAUCGAAGUUAAAACUACCGUUAAAUCGUGAUUUAUCGUUUAUAACCGUCGAAGUUGUUUUUCCUGUUACUUGAUCUUUGCAUGUUCGUUUUUUGCCAUUUUUGGCGUAUGAGAUCUUGAAGCAUAUAAAAAUAUGUUUGACGGUUGGAUCGUUGAAAUUAAUUUCGUACAAUGCGUUUACCAACAAAACGAUUGAUUUACUAACACUUAGAGUUUAACUAUAUUUUCAUUAAGUAUAACUUAAGAUUUUGUGGUAUCCACUUCUGUCAAUACUUUAAAUUGACGAUCGAAUUAGUUCAUUGUAUUCAUAUAGGGGCAAGGAGUGUAUCUGCCAAAAAUUAUACAAAUCGGAGUUAAAACUACCGUUAAAUCGGGAUUUUUCGCUUAUAACCGUCGAAAUUGUUUUUUCUGCUACUGGAUCUCCUCAUGUUUUUUUUUUUUUCAUUUUUUGUGUAUAGGAUCUUAAAGCAUAUAAAAACAUGUUUGACGGUUAGAUCGUUGAAAUUAAUUUCGUACAAUGCGUUUACCAUCAAAACGAUUGAUUUAUAAACACUUAGAGUUUAAUUAUAUUUUCAUUAAGUAUAACUUAAGAUUUUGUGCUAUCCACUUAUGUCAAUACUCUAAAUUGACGAUCAAAUUAGUUCUUUGUAUUCAUAUAGGGGCAAGGAGUGUAUCUGUAUAAAAUCAUCAAAAUCGGAGUUAAAACUACUGUUAAAUCGUGAGUUUUCGUUUAUAACCGUUGAAAUUGUUUUCCCUGUUACUUGAUCUCUGCAUGUUCGUUUUUUGCCAUUUUUGGCGUAUGAGAUCUUGAAGCAUAUAAAAACAUGUUUGACGGUUGGAUCGUUGAAAUUAAUUUCGUACAAUGCGUUUACCACAAAACGAUUGAUCUACUAACACUAAGAGUUUAAUUAUAUUUUCAUUAAGUAUAACUUAAGAUUUUGUGGUAUCCACUUCUGUCACUACUUUAAAUUGACGAUCGAAUUUGUUCAUUAUAUUCAUAUAGGGGCAAGGAAUUUAUCUGUAAAAAAUCAUCCAAAUCGGAGUUAAAACUACCGUUAUAUCGUGAUUUUUCGUUUAUAACCGUCGAAAUUGUUUUCCCUGUUACUUGAUCUCUGCAUGUUCGUUUUUUGCCAUUUUUGGUGUAUGAGAUCUUGAAGCAUAUAAUAACAUGUUUGAUGGUUGGAUCGUUGAAAUUAAUUUCGUACAAUGCGUUUACCAUCAAAAUGAUUGAUUUACUAACACUUAGAGUUUAAUUAUAUUUUCAUUAAGUAUAACAUAAGAUUUUGUGGUAUCCAGUUCUGUCAAUACAUUAAAUUGAUGAUCGAAUUAGAUCAUUGUAUUCAUAUAGGGGCAAGGAAUUUAUCUAUAAAAAAUCAUCCAAAUCGGAGUUAAAACUACCAUUAAAUCGUGAUUUUCGCUUAUAACCGUCGAAAUUAUUUUUUCUGUUACUGGAUCUCUGCAUGUUUGUUUUUUUCCCAUUUUUGGCGUAUGAGAUCUUGAAACAUAUAAAAACAAGAUUGACGGUUGGAUCGUUGAAAUUAAUUUCGUACAAUGCGUUUACCAUCAAAACGAUUGAUUUACUAACACUUAGAGUUUAAUUAUAUUUUCAUUAAGUAUAACUUAAGAUUUUGUGGUAUCCACUUCUGUCAAUACUUUAAAUUGACGAUCGAAUUAGUUCAUUGUAUUCAUAUAGGGGCAAGGAGUGUAUUUGUAAAAAAUCAUCCAAAUCGGAGUUAAAACUACGGUUAAAUCUUGAUUUGUCGUUUAUAACCGUCGAAAUUGUUUUUCCUGUUACUUGAUCUCUGCAUGUUCGUUUUUUGCCAUUUUUGGCGUAUGAGAUCUUGAUGCAUAUAAAAAUAUGUUUGACGGUUGGAUCGUUGAAAUUAAUUUCGUACAAUGCGUUUACUAUCAAAACGAUUGAUUUACAAACACUUCGAGUUUAAUUAUAUUUUCAUGAAGUAUAACUUCAAAUUUUGUGGUAUUCACCUCUGUCAAUACUUUAAAUUGACGAUCGAAUUUGUUCAUUGUAUUCAUAUAGGUGCAAGGAGUGUAUCUGUAAAAAAUCAUCCAAAUCAGAGUUAAAACUACCGUUAAAUCGUGAUUUUUCACUUUUAACCGUCAAAAUUGUUUUUUCUGUUACUGGAUCUCUGCAUGUUUGUUUUUUUCCAUUUUUGGCGUAUGGGAUCUUGAACCAUAUAAACACAUGCUUGACAGUUGGAUUGUUGAAAUUAAUUUCGUACAAUGCGUUUACCAUCAAAACGAUUGAUUUACUAACACUUGGAGUUUAAUUAUAUUUUGAUUAAGUAUAACUUAAGAUUUUAUGGUUUCCAUUUCUGUCAAUAAUUUAAAUUGAUGAUCGAAUUAGUUCAUUGUAUUCAUAUAGGGGCAAGGAAUUUAUCUGUAAAAAAUCAUCCAAAUCGGAGUUAAAACUACCGUUAAAUCGUGAUUUUUCGUUUAUAACCGUCGAAAUUAUUUUUUCUGUUACUAGAUCUCUGCAUGUUUGUUUUUUUCCAUUUUUGGCGUAUGGGAACUUGAAGCAUAUGAAAACAUGUUUGAUGGUUGGAUCGUUGAAAUUAAUUUCUUAGAAUGCGUUUACCAUCAAAACGAUUGAUUUACUAACACUUAGAGUUUAAUUAUAUUUUCAUUAAGUAUAACUUAAGAUUUUGUGGUAUCCACUUCUGUCAAUACUUUAAAUUGAUGAUCGAAUUAGUUCAUUGUAUUCAUAUAGGGGUAAGGAGUGUAUCUGUAUAAAAUCAUUAAAAUCGGAGUUAAAAAUACCGUUAAAUCGUGAGUGUUCGUUUAUAAUCGUUGAAAUUGUUUUUCCUGUUAUUGGAUCUCUGCAUGUUCUUUUUUUUUCCAUUUUUGGUGAAUGAGAUCUUGAAGCAUAUAAAAACAUGUUUGACGGUUAGAUCGCUGAAAUUAAUUUCGUACAAUGCGUUUACCAUCAAAACGAUUGAUUUACUAACGCUUAGAGUUUAGUUAUAUUUUCAUUAAGUAUAACUUAAGAUUUUGUGGUAUCCACUUCUGUCAAUACUUUAAAUUGAUGAUCAAAUUAGUUCAUUGUAUUCAUAUCGGGGCAAGGAAUGUUUCUGUAAAAAAUCAUCCAAAUCGGAGUUAAAACUACCGUUAAAUCGUGAUUUUUCUCUUAUAACCGUCGAAAUUGUUUUUUCUGUUACUGGAUCUCUGCUUGUUUGUUUUUUUUCCAUUUUUGGCGUAUGGGAUCUUGAAGCAUAUAAAAACAUGUUUGACGGUUGGAUCGUUGAAAUUAAUUUCGUACAAUGCGUUUACCAUCAAAAUGAUUGAUUUACUUACAUAUAGUUUAAUUUUAUUUUCAUUAAGUAUAACUUAAGAUUUUGUGGUAUCCACUUCUGUCAAUACUUUAAAUUGAUGAUUGAAUUAGUUCAUUGUAUUCAUAUAGGAGCAAGGAGUGUAUCUGUAUAAAAUCAUCAAAAUCGGAGUUAAAACUACCUUUAAAUCGUGAUUUUUCUUUUUUAACCGUCGAAAUUGUUUGUCUUGUUACUUGAUCUCUGCACAUUCGUUUUUGGCCAUUUUUGGUGUAUGAGAUCUUGAAGCAUAUAAAAACAAGUUUGACGGUUGGAUCGUUGAAAUUAAUUUCGUACAAUGCGUUUACCAUCAAAACAAUUGAUUUACUAACACUUAGAGUUUAAUUAUAUUUUCAUUAAGUAUAACUUAAGAUUUUGUGGUAUCCACUUCUAUCAAUACUUUAAAUUGAUGAUCAAAUUAGAUCAAUGUAUUCAUAUAGGGGCAAGGAGUGUAUCUGUAUAAAAUCAUCCCAAUCGGAGUUAAAACUACCGUUAAAUAGUGAUUUUUCGUUUUUAAUCGUCGAAAUUGUUUUUCCUGUUACUUGAUCUUUGCAUGUUCGUUUUUUGCCAUUUUUGGCGUAUGGGAUCUCGAAGCAUAUAAAAACAUGUUUGACGGUUGGAUCAUUGAAAUUAAUUUCGUACAAUGCGUUACCAACAAAACAAUUGAUUUACUAACACUUAGAGUUUAAUUAUAUUUUCAUUAAGUAUAACUUAAGAUUUUGUGGUAUCCACUUCUGUCAAUACUUUAAAUUGAUGAUCAAAUUAGUUCAUUGUAUUCAUAUGGGGGCAAGGAGUGUAUCUGUAAAAAAUCAUCCAAAUCGGUGUUAAAACUACCGUUAAAUCGUGAUUUUUCGCUUAUAACCGUCGAAAUUGUUUUUUCUGUUACUGGAUCUCCUCAUGUGUUUUUUUUCCAUUUUGGCGUAUGGGAUCUUGAAGCAUAUAAAAACAUGUUCAACGGUGGGAUCGUUGAAAUUAAUUUAGUACAAUGCGUUUAACAUCAAAACGAUUGAUUUACUAACACUUAGAGUUUAGUUAUAUUUUCAUUAAGUAUAACUUAAGAUUUUGUGGUAUCCACUUUUGUCAAUACUUUAAAUUGACGAUCGAAUUAGUUCAUUGUAUUCAUAUAGGGGUAAGGAGUGUAUCUGUAUAAAAUCAUUAAAAUCGGAGUUAAAACUACCGUUAAAUCAUGAAUUUUCGUUUAUAACCGUUGAAAUUGUUUUUCAUGUUACUGGAUCUCUACAUGUUCAUUUUUUUUUACUUUUUUGGUGAAUGAGAUCUUGAAGCAUAUAAAAACAUGUUUGAUGGUUAGAUCGUUGAAAUUAAUUUCGUACAAUGCGUUUACCAUCAAAACGAUUGAUUUACUAACACUUAGAGUUUAGUUAUAUUUUCAUUAAGUAUAACUUAAGAUUUUGUGGUAUCCACUUCUGUCAAUACUUUAAAUUGAUGAUCGAAUUAGUUCAUUGUAUUCAUAUCGGGGCAAGGAAUUUAUCUGUAAAAAAUCAUCCAAAUCGGAGUUAAAACUACUGUUAAAUCGUGAUUUUUCGUUUAUAACCGUCGAAAUUGUUUUUUCUGUUACUAGAUCUCUGCAUAUUUGUUUUUUUCCAUUUUUGGCGUAUGGGAACUUGAAGCAUAUGAAAACAUGUUUGAUGGUUGGAUCGUUGAAAUUAAUUUCUUAGAAUGCGUUUACCAUCAAAACGCUUGAUUUACUAACCCUUAGAGUUUAAUUAUAUUUUCAUUAAGUAUAACUUAAGAUUUUGUGGUAUCCACUUCCGUCAAUACUUUAAAUUGACGAUCGAAUUAGUUCAUUGUAUUCAUAUAGGGGUAAGGAGUGUAUCUGUAUAAAAGUCAUCCAAAUCGGAGUUAAAACUAUCGUUAAAUCGUUAGUUUUCGUUUAUAACCGUUGAAAUUGUUUUUCCUGUUACUUCAUCUCUGCAUGUUCAUUUUUUUUCCUUUUUUGGUGUAUGAGAUCUUGAAGCAUAUAAAAACAGGAUUGACGGUUAGAUCGUUGAAAUUAAUUUCGUACAAUGCGUUUACCAUCAAAACGAUUGAUUUACUAACACUAAGGGUUUAGUUAUAUUUUCAUUAAGUAUAACUUAAGAUUUUGUGGUAUCCACUUCUGUCAAUACUUUAAAUUGAUGAUCGAAUUAGUUCAUUGUAUUCAUAUAGGGGCAAGGAAUUUAUCUGUAUAAAAUCAUCAAAAUUGGAGUUAAAACUACCGUUAAAUCGUGAUUUUUCGUUUAUAACCGUCGAAAUUGUUUGUCUUGUUACUUGAUCUCUGCACAUUCGUUUUUGGCCAUUUUUGGUAUAUGAGAUCUUGAAGCAUAUAAAAACAAGUUUGACGGUUGGAUAGUUGAAAUUAAUUUCGUACAAUGCGUUUACCAUCAAAACAAUUGAUUUACUAACACUUAGAGUAUAAUUAUAAUUUAAGAUUUUGUGGUAUCCACUUCUAUCAAUACUUUAGAUUGAUGAUCGAAUUGGUUCAUUGUAUUCAUAUAGGGGCAAGGAGUGUAUCUGUAUAAAAUCAUCAAAAUCAGAGUUAAAAUUACCGUUAAAUCGUGAUUUUUCGUUUAUAACCGUCGAAAUUGUUUGUCUUGUUACUUGAUCUCUGGACAUUCGUUUUUGGCCAUUUUUGGUGUAUGAGAUCUCGAAGCAUAUAAAAACAAGUUUGACGGUUGGAUCGUUGAAAUUAAUUUCGUACAAUACGUUUACCAUCAAAACAAUAGAUUUACUAACACUUAGAGUUUAAUUAUAUUUUCAUUAAGAAUAACUUAAGAUUUUGUGGUAUCCACUUCUAUCAAUACUUUAAAUUGAUGAUCGAAUUAUCUCAUUGUAUUCAUAUAGGGGCAAGUAGUGUAUCUGUAUAAAAUCAUCCCAAUCGGAGUUAAAACUACCGUUAAAUAGUGAUUUUUCGUUUUUAACCAUCGAAAUUGUUUUUCCUGUUACUUGAUCUUUGCAUGUUUUUUUUUUCCAUUUUUGGCGUAUGGGAUCUCGAAGCAUAUAAAAAUAUGUUUGACGGAUGGAUCGUUGAAAUUAAUUUCUUAGAAUGCGUUUACCAUCAAAAUGAUUGAUUUACUGACACUUAGAGUAUAAUUAUUUUUUCAUUAAGUAUAACAUAAGAUUUUGUGGUAUCCACUUCUGUCAAUACUUUGAAUUGACGAUCGAAUUAGUUCAUUGUAUUCAUAUAAGGGCAAGGAAUUUAUCUGUAACAAAUCAUUCAAAUCGGAGUUAAAACUACCUUUAAAUCGUGAUUUUUCGUUUAUAACUGUCGAAAUUGUUUUUCCUGUUACUUGAUCUGUGCAUGUUCGUUUUUUGCCAUUUUUGGCGUAUUGGAUCUCGAAGCAUAUAAAAAUAUGUUUCACGGAUGGAUCGUUGAAAUUAAUUUCUUAGAAUGCGUUUACCAUCAAAAUGAUUGAUUUACUGACACUUGGAGUAUAAUUAUUUUUUCAUUAAGUAUAACUUAAGAUUUUGUGGUAUCCACUUCUGUCAAUACUUUAAAUUGAUGAUCAAAUUAGUUCAUUGUAUUCAUAUCGGGGCAAAGAAUUUAUCUGUAAAAAAUCAUCCAAAUCGGAGUUAAAACUAUUGUUAAAUCGUGAUUUUUCGUUUAUAACCGUCGAAAUUGUUUUUUCUGUUACUAGAUCUCUGCAUAUUUGUUUUUUUCCAUUUUUGGCGUAUGGGAACUUGAAGCAUAUUAAAACAUGUUUGAUGGUUGGAUCGUUGAAAUUAAUUUCUUAGAAUGCGUUUACCAUCAAAACGCUUGAUUUACUAACACUUAGAGUUUAAUUAUAUUUUCAUUAAGUAUAACUUAAUAUUUUGGGGUAUCCACUUCCGUCAAUACUUUAAAUUGACGAUCGAAUUAGUUCAUUGUAUUCAUAUAGGGGUAAGGAGUGUAUCUAUAUAAAAUCAUUAAAAUCGAAGUUAAAACUACUGUUAAAUCGUGAUUUUUCGUUUAUAACCGUCGAAAUUGUUUUUUCUGUUACUAGAUGUCUGCAUAUUUGUUUUUUUCCAUUUUUGGCGUAUGGAAACUUGAAGCAUAUGAAAACAUGUUUGAUGGUUGGAUCAAUGAAAUUAAUUUCUUAGAAUGCGUUUACCAUCAAAACGCUAGAUUUACUAACACUUAGAGUAUAAUUAUAUUUUCAUUAAGUAUAACUUAAGAUUUUGUGGUAUCCACUUCUAUCAAUACUUUAGAUUGAUGAUCGAAUAGGUUCAUUGUAUUCAUAUAGGGGCAAGGAGUGUAUCUGUUUAAAAUCAUCAAAAUCAGAGUUAAAACUACCGUUAAAUCGUGAUUUUUUGUUUAUAACCGUCGAAAUUGUUUGUCUUGUUACUUGAUCUCUGGACAUUCGUUUUUGGCCAUUUUUGGUGUAUGAGAUCUCGAAGCACAUAAAAACAAGUUUACGGUUGGAUCGUUGAAAUUAAUUUCGUACAAUGCGUUUACCAUCAAAACAAUUGAUUUACUAAGACUUAGAGUUUAAUUAUAUUUUCUUUAAGUAUAACUUAAGAUUUUGUGGUAUCCACUUCUAUCAAUACUUUAAAUUGAUGAUCAAAUUAGAUCAUUGUAUUCAUAUAGGGGCAAGGAGUGUAUCUGUAUAAAAUCAUCCCAAUCGGAGUUAAAACUACCGUUAAAUAGUGAUUUUUCGUUUUUAACCGUCGAAAUUGUUUUUCCUGUUACUUGAUCUUUGCAUGCUUUUUUUUUCCAUUUUUGGCGUAUGGGAUCUCGAAGCAUAUAAAAAUAUGUUUGACGGAUGGAUCGUCGAAAUUAAUUUCUUAGAAUGCGUUUACCAUCAAAAUGAUUGAUUUACUGACACUUAGAGUAUAAUUAUUUUUUCAUUAAGAAUAACAUAAGAUUUUGUGGUAUCCACUUCUGUCAAUACUUUGAAUUGACGAUCGAAUUAGUUCAUUGUAUUCAUAUAAGGGCAAGGAAUUUAUCUGUAAAAAAUCAUCCAAAUCGGAGUUAAAACUACCUUCAAAUCGUGAUUUUUCGUUUAUAACCGUCGAAAUUAUUUUUCCUGUUACUUGAUCUGUGCAUGUUCGUUUUUUGCCAUUUUUGGCGUAUUGGAUCUCGAAGCAUAUAAAAAUAUGUUUGACGGAUGGAUCGUUGAAAUUAAUUUCUUAGAAUGCGUUUACCAUCAAAAUGAUUGAUUUACUGACACUUGGAGUAUAGUUAUUUUUUCAUUAAGUAUAACUUAAGAUUUUGUGGUAUCCACUUCUGUCAAUACUUUAAAUUGAUGAUCGAAUUAGUUCAUUGUAUUCAUAUCGGGGCAAAGAAUUUAUCUGUAAAAAAUCAUCCAAAUCGGAGUUAAAACUACUGUUAAAUCGUGAUUUUUCGUUUAUAACCGUCGAAAUUGUUUUUUCUGUUACUAGAUCUCUGCAUAUUUGUUUUUUUCAAUUUUUGGCGUAUGGGAACUUGAAGUAUAUUCAAACAUGUUUGAUGGUUGGAUUGUUGAAAUUAAUUUCUUAGAAUGCGUUUACCAUCAAAACGCUUGAUUUACUAACACUUAGAGUUUAAUUAUAUUUUCAUUAAGUAUAAGUUAAUAUUUUGUGGUAUCCACUUCCUUCAAUACUUUAAAUUGACGAUCGAAUUAGUUCAUUGUAUUCAUAUAGGGGUAAGGAGUGUAUCUGUAUAAAAUCAUUAAAAUCGGAGUUAAAACUACCGUUAAAUCGUGAGUUUUCGUUUAUAACCGUUGAAAUUGUUUUUCCUGUUACUGGAUCUCUGCAUGUUCAUUUUUUUUUCCAUUUUUGGUGAAUGAGAUCUUGAAGCAUAUAAAAACUUGUUUGACGGUUAGAUCGUUGAAAUUAAUUUCGUACAAUGCGUUUACCAUCAAAACGAUUGAUUUACUAACACUAAGAGUUUAGUUAUAUUUUCAUUAAGUAUAACUUAAGAUUUUGUGGUAUCCACUUCUGUCAAUACUUUAAAUUGAUUAUUGAAUUAGUUCAUUGUAUUCAUAUCGGGGCUAGGAAUUUAUCUGUAAUAAAUCAUCCAAAUCGGAGUUAAAACUACCGUUAAAUCGUGAUUUUUCUCUUAUAACCGUCGAAAUUGUUUUUUCUGUUACUGGAACUCUGGUUGUUUGUUUUUUUUCCAUUUUUGGCGUAUGAGAUCUUGAAGCAUAUAAAAACAUGUUUGACGGUUGGAUCGUUGAAAUUAAUUUCGUACAAUGCGUUUACCAUCAAAAUGAUUGAUUUACUUACAUAUAGUUUAAUUUUAUUUUCAUAAAGUAUAACUUAAGAUUUGGUGGUAUCCACUUCUGUCAAUACUUAUUGAUGAUCGAAUUUGUUCAUUGUAUUCAUAUAGGGGCAAGGAGUGUAUAUGUAUAAAAUCAUCAAAAAUCGGAGUUAAAACUACCGUUAAAUCGUGAUUUUUCGUUUAUAACCGUCGAAAUUGUUUGUCUUGUUACUUGAUCUCUGCACAUUCGUUUUUGGCCAUUUUUGGUGUAUGAGAUCUUGAAGCACAUAAAGACAAGUUUGACGGUUGGAUCGUUGAUAUUAAUUUCGUACAAUGCGUUUACCAUCAAAAUGAUUGAUUUACUUACAUAUAGUUUAAUUUUAUUUUCAUUAAGUAAAACUUAAGAUUUUGUGGUAUCCACUUCUGUCAAUGCUUUAGAUUGAUGAUCGAAUUGGUUCAUUGUAUUCAUAUAGGGGCAAGGAGUGUAUCUGUAUAAAAUCAUCAAAAUCAGAGUUAAAACUACCGUUAAAUCGUGAUUUUUCGUUUAUAACCGUCGAAAUUGUUUGUCUUGUUACUUGAUCUCUGCACAUUCGUUUUUUUCCAUUUUUGGUGUAUGAGAUCUUGAAGCACAUAAAAACAAGUUUGACGGUUGGAUCGUCGAAAUUAAUUUCGUACAAUGCGUUUACCAUCAAAACAAUUGAUUUACUAACACUUAGAGUUUAAUUAUAUUUUCAUUAAGUAUAACUUAAGAUUUUGUGGUAUCCACUUCUAUCAUUACUUUAAAUUGAUGAUCAAAUUAGAUCAUUGUAUUCAUAUAGGGGCAAGGAGUGUAUCUGUAUAAAAUCAUCCCAAUCGGAGUUAAAACUACCGUUAAAUACUGAUUUUUCGUUUUUAAUCGUCGAAAUUGUUUUUCCUGUUACUUGAUCUUUGCAUGUUCGUUUUUUGCCAUUUUAGGCGUAUGGGAUCUCGAAGCAUAUAAAAAUAUGUUUGACGAAUGGAUCGUUGAAAUUAAUUUCCUAGAAUGCGUUUACCAUCAAAAUGAUUGAUUUACUGACACUUAGAGUAUAAUUAUUUUUUCAUUAAGUAUAACAUAAGAUUUUGUGGUAUCCACUUCUGUCAAUACUUUAAAUUGAUGAUCGAAUUAGUUCAUUGUAUUCAUAUAAGGGCAAGGAAUUUAUCUGUAAAAAAUCAUCCAAAUCGGAAUUAAAACUACCGUUAAAUCGUGAUUUUUCGUUUAUAACCGUCCAAAUUGUUUUCCCUGUUACUUGAUCUCUGCAUGUUCGUUUUUUGCCAUUUUUGGCGUAUGAGAUCUUGAAGAAUAUAAAAACAUGUUUGACGGUUGGAUCGUUGAAAUUAAUUUGUACAAUGGAUUACCAACAAAACGAUUGAUUUACUAACACUUAGAGUUUAAUUAUAUUUUGAUUAAGUAUAACUUAAGAUUUUGUGGUAUCCACUUCUAUCAAUACUUUAAAUUGAUGAUCAAAUUAGUUCAUUGUAUUCAUAUGGGGGCAAGGAGUGUAUCUGUAAAAAAUCAUCCAAAUCGGAGUUAAAACUACCGUUAAAUCGUUAUUUUUCGCUUAUAACCAGCGAAAUUGUUUGUUCUGUUACUGGAUCUCCUCAUGUUUUUUUUUUUCCAUUUUGGCGUAUGGGAUGUUGAAGCAUAUAAAAACAUGUUUGACGGUGGGAUCAUUGAAAUUAAUUUAGUACAAUGCGUUUACCAUCAAAACGAUUGAUUUACUAAGACUUAUAGUUUAGUUAUAUUUUCAUUAAGUAUAACUUAAGAUUUUAUAGUAUCCACUUCUGUCAAUACUUUAAAUUGACGAUCGAAUUAGUUCAUUGUAUUCAUAUAGGGGUAAGGAGUGUAUCUGUAUAAAACCAUUAAAAUCGGAGUUAAAACUACCGUUAAAUCGUGAGUUUUCGUUUAUAACCGUUGAAAUUGUUUUUCCUGUUACUGGAUCUCUGCAUGUUCAUUUUUUUUUCCAUUUUUUGUGAAUGAGAUCUUGAAGCAUAUAAAAACAUGUUUGACGGUUAGAUCGUUGAAAUUAAUUUCGUACAAUGCGUUUACCAUCAAAAUGAUUGAUUUACUAACACUUAUAGUUUAAUUAUAUUUUCAUUAAGUGUAACUUAAGACUUUGUGGUAUCCACUUCUGUCAAUACUUUAAAUUGAUGAUCGAAUUAGUUCAUUGUAUUCAUAUAGGGGCAAGGAAUUUAUCUGUAAAAAAUCAUCCAAAUCGGAGUUAAAACUACCUUUAAAUCGUGAUUUUUCGUUUAUAACCGUCGAAAUUGUUUUUCCUGGUACUUGAUCUGUGCAUGUUCGUUUUUUGCCAUUUUUGGCGUAUUGGAUCUCGAAGCAUAUAAAAAUAUGUUUGACGGAUGGAUCUUUGAAAUUAAUUUCUUAGAAUGCGUUUACCAUCAAAAUGAUUGAUUUACUGACACUUGGAGUAUAAUUAUUUUUUCAUUAAGUAUAACUUAAGAUUUUGUGGUAUCCACUUCUGUCAAUACUUUAAAUUGAUGAUCGAAUUAGUUCACUGUAUUCAUAUAGGGGCAAGGAAUUUAUCUGUAAAAAGUCAUCCAAAUCGGAGUUAAAACUACCGUUAAAUCGUGAUUUUUCGUUUACAACCGUCGAAAUUGUUUUUCCUGUUACUUGAUCUCUGGAUGUUCGUUUUUUGCCAUUUUUGACGUAUGAGAUCUUGAAGCAUAUAAAAACAUGUUUGACGGUUGGAUUGUUAAAAUUAAUUUUGUACAAUGCGUUACCAAGAAAACGAUUGAUUUACUAACACUUAGAGUUUAAUUAUAUUUUCAUUAAGUAUAACUUAAGAUUUUGUGGUAUCCACUUCUGUCAAUACUUUAAAUUGAUGAUCGAAUUAGUUCAUUGUAUUCAUAUGGGGGCAAGGAGUGUAUCUGUAAAAAAUCAUCCAAAUCGAAGUCAAAACUACCGUUAAAUCGUGAUUUUUCACUUAUAACCGUCGAAAUUGUUUUUUCUGUAACUGGAUCUCCUCAUGUUUUUUUUUUCCAUUUUGGCGUAUGGGAUCUUGAAGCAUAUAAAAACAUGUUUGACGGUGGGAUCGUUGAAAUUAAUUUCGUACAAUGCGUUUACCAUCAAAACGAUUGAUUUACUAACACUUAGAGUUUGGUUAUAUUUUCAUUAAGUAUUACUUAAGAUUUUGUGGUAUCCACUUCUAUCAAUACUUUAAAUUGAUGAUCGAAUUAGUUCAUUGUAUUCAUAUUGGGGCAAGGAAUUUAUCUGUAAAAAAUCGUCCAAAUCAGAGUUAAAACUACCGUUAAAUCGUGAUUUUUCUCUUAUAACUGUCGAAAUUGUUUUUUCUGUUACUGGAUCUCUGCUUGUUUGUUUUUUUUCCAUUUUUGGCGUAUGGGAUCUUGAAGCAUAUAAAAACAUGUUUGACGGUUGGAUCGUUGAAAUUAAUUUCGUACAAUUCGUUUACCAUCAAAAUGAUUGAUUUACUUACAUAUAGUUUAAUUUUAUUUUCAUUAAGUAUAACUUAAGAUUUUGUGGUAUCCACUUCUGUCAAUACUUUAAAUUGAUGAUCGAAUUAGUUCAUUGUAUUCAUAUAGGGGCAAGGAGUGUAUUUGUAUAAAAUCAUCAAAAUCGGAGUUAAAACUACCGUUAAAUCGUGAUUUUUUGUUUAUAACCGUCGAAAUUGUUUGUCUUGUUACUUGAUCUCUGCACAUUCGUUUUUGGCCAUUUUUGGUGUAUGAGAUCUUGAAGCAUAUAAAAACAAGUUUGACGGUUGGAUCGUUGAAAUUAAUUUCGUACAAUGCGUUUACCAUCAAAACAAUUGAUUUACUAACACUUAGAGUUUAAUUAUAUUUUCAUUAAGUAUAACUUAAGAUUUUGUGGUAUCCACUUCUAUCAAUACUUUAAAUUGAUGAUCGAAUUAGAUCAUUGUAUUCAUAUAGGGGCAAGGAGUUUAUCUGUAUAAAAUCAUCCCAAUCGGUGUUAAAACUACCGUUAAAUAGUGAUUUUUCAUUUUUAAUCGUUGAAAUUGUUUUUCCUGUUAUUUGAUCUCUGCAUGUUCGUUUUUUGUCAUAUUUGGCGUAUGAGAUCUUGAGGCAUAUAAAAAUAUGUUUGACGGUUGGAUCGUUGAAAUUAAUUUCGUACAAUUCGUUUCCCAUCAAAACGAUUGAUUUACUAACACCUAGAGUUUAAUUAUAUUUUCAGUAUGGAUAACUUAAGAUUUUGUGGUAUCCACUUUUGUCAAUACUGUAAAUUGACGAUCGAAUUUGUUCAUUGUAUUCAUUUUGGGGUAAGGAGUGUAUCUGUAUAAAAUCAUCAAAAUCGGAGUUAAAACUACUGUUAAAUAGUGAUUUUUCGUUUAUAACCGUCGAAUUUUUUUUUUCUUGUUACUUGAUCUCUGCAUGUUCUUUUUUUGCCAUUUUUGGUGUAUGUGAUCUUGAAGCAUAUAAAAACAUGUUUGACGGUUAGAUCGUUGAAAUUAAUUUCGUACAAUGCGUUUCCCAUCAAAACGAUUGAUUUGCUAACACUUAGAGUUUAAUUGUAUUUUCAUUAAGUAUAACUUAAGAUUUUGUGGUAUCCACUUUUGUAAAACUUUAAAUUGAUGAUCGAAUUUGUUCAUUGUAUUCAUAUAGGGUCAAGUAGUGUAUCUGUAAAAAAUUUUCAAAAUUGGAGUUUAAACUACCGUUAAAUCGUGAUUUUUCGUUUAUCAUCGUCGAAAUUUUUUUUCCUGUUUCUUGAUCUCUGCAUGUUCGUUUCUUGCCAUUUUUGGCGUAUGUGAUCUCGAAUCAUAUACAAACAAGUUUGACGGUUGGAUCGUUGAAACUAUUUUCGUACAAUGGAUUUCCUAUCAAGUUCAAUGCUAUGUAUAUUUAAUAAGUAGAUUUUAAUUUAUUUAUUUUGUAGUUAUAACACUUAAGAGAUUGAAUGAUAUAUAUGUUAAAAUAAUUAUUGACACAUCCCGAUCCUUGAAUCAAGGCGUGCUGGCCGCCACGUGAGUGUGACGUAACCAAAAGUGCGGUGCGGAAGCAAGGUAUAAGAAAAAUACGAAGGAAUAAAAACCAACUACUAGCAGUAAUAACCAACUAGCAUGCUAGAGUGAAUAUAAUUGUGCAGUACACCAGUUCAGAGCAUAAAGAAAACUAGGUACAGUCGAGGAGGACUAUAAUUAAAGAACCUCGUGAGCCACCAACUGCUAACUAGAACCUGGAGGGGCGCAAAAACAAAAUUGAGUGGGUCAGUAAAAUCAAAGUUUUCCAAAACAUUUCAUUAAAAACGUUUCUAACCCCUCACUGUAAAACCCGUAUACUUUCCCAGAAAAUAACAUAGUAGCUUAUAAAACCUCAUACGUCACAAGUCACCAAUCUAUCACAAAUCCAGGAAUAUGCCAUGCCAUAAAUGUCAAUAACAAAACAUAGAUGCAUCAAAAUAACAGGUGACAUAAUGAAUUAACCAGAGACCCUGCAGUUGGUCCUGUACGGUUAAUUCCAUAGUUCAAUAUCCAACCCAGCCGGAGUCACCACGGUGACCUGUACGACACUACUCUGCACAUAAGUCGGAACUACUUGAAGUAGUCUGUAUGACAAGAAUGGUGUAAUGAUACGCUCUAGUGCUUCUCUCAUCAAUCAUUUGCGCGCGUAAUCUAAGGUCACCUACUAGUCGGAACCACCUCUAGUGGUCUGUACGACUAGCAUGUCGGAACCCUCUCAUGGUCUGUACGACAUGCACCUACUUGGAUCUAAGGUGAGCAUGUGGUGCGGUGAAUAAUAUAAGCACUAACACCAGGGUGCAGGUUAUGAGCUUUCAACACAAUUCGCAUCAUCAAUGAUUCACAUAAGUAACAUAAAACUCACCUGAUACUCACCUGUGCGUCCACAGCACCAAAUCACAUAUAUAUAUGCAUUCAAAUCCAUUCAUAUAAUUCAUAAUAUGCAUGCAUGGCAAUUGAAAACAUACUUUCAUAUAAAUUCAAUUUAUGGGAAAAUUAAUAGUAUAUAGGUAUAUACUGAAAACAAAACUGCCGACUCACUGGUAAGUCGAUGGGUCGUAACCCCUGUGACGUCCCUGAAUGCGCUUGUCCUCGGGAUAGGUGUCACCUAUAUGCGAAACAACUAUAAAAACGUUAAUUAAUGCACAUAACCAAUAAUUCGAAAUAACUUGUCAUAUGGUGCCCAAUUUGGGUAUAUGAAUAUACCACAUCGACCUACUCGACGUCACGGACGUCGAGAAAUUUUUAGAAUUUUUUUUUGACGUGGCACGUGCUCCCACGCGCCGGGAAGGUCACAGGUUCACGCGCCCCCACGCGCGUCUUCUUCCUCAAGCUCGCCAGAUUGAGUUUUCCGGUGGCCGAAAAACUGGAGUUUUUUCAAUCUCCUUGUUCUCCGUCGUUUCUCAACCGUUUUCUUCGUAUUUUAUAUCAAUUUGAAGCCCUCAACAUGUAGAGUCACAUUGGACUAAUUUCAGGCUCUAAAAAUAACUAAAUCUCACUGGAAAAAUUUCAAGAAAAACCGGCCAACUUCGAACUCGACGAUCCUGACGUCCAAAACCUUCCAACUAGGUACCCCGAGCUUCCUUAGGACCUCACUAAGCUCACUAUAAGGUUGGAUUGUCCUAAAAAUCAACCAGCACAAAGUUCAUGAAUAGUGCCAAACUCGGACCUCGAGUUUUCAACGUGAAAACGAAGGGUUUCUUACCUGAAAUGGGUGUGGUUGAGUUCGUAGAGUCCUCACGAGCACGAUGGUGCCUUCAAAAUCCUCGAUCCAUGAAGUUUCAGGGUUUUAUGGUGUUGGUCCGUACGGUUCAAGAGGGAGAGAGAGACUGAAAUGGAGAGGAGAGAGAGAAGGCAUGGGGAAUGAAGGGUUAUCCCGUGUGUGUAGGUGUGUGGUUCCUCAAAACCAUUCCCCCUUAUUUUCCUAACCACAUAAUUUACAAACCAAUUUUUAAUCCAACUUAAAAUAUUUUCCAAAAGCUUGAAAUACAUGAAUUUAAUCCAACUAAUAUGUCACACACACAAUGUCGAAGCAUCGAGACAUGAAACACAUUAUGUACCUUAGAUAACUCCGGAGGCAACUCCAACCUGUAGGCAACUUCACCAACCUUCUCAGUGAUCUCAUAAGGUCCUAUGUACCUACGACUCAAUUUGCCUUUCUUUCCAAAUCGCACUACACCUUUCCAAGGUGACAAUUUCAAGAAUACCAAAUUACCCACAUCGUAAACUCGAUCAGUAGCAUGUCUAUCUGCUAAACUCUUUUGUCGAUCCUGGGCCGCUUUCAGGUUAGACUUAAUCACCUGAAUAUUUUGAGUAGUCUCAUCCACAAUCUCUGGGCCUUCUAACACUCUUUCGCCAACCUCUAACUAACACAAUGGUGUACGACAAGCUCUACCAUAAAGUGCCUCAAAUGGUGACAUACAAAUGCUCGAAUGAAAACUAUUAUUAUAGGCAAAUUCCAUCAAGUCUAGGCGGUUAUGCCAAGAAUCACCAAACUGCAAUACUGAAGAUCUCAACAUAUCCUCCAACGUCUGAAUAGUCCUAUCUGAUUGUCCAUCGGUUUGAGGAUGAUAAGCAGUGCUGUAAAGCAAUUUCUUACCAAGAGCUUCCUGAAAAGCUACCCAAAACUUAGAAGUAAAUCUUGGAUCUCGAUCAGAAAUAAUAUUCACUGGAACUCCAUGAUACUUCACAAUCUUCGUGAUGAACAACUUAGCCAAUUUAUUUAGGGGAUACUUUUCACUUACUGGAAUGAAGUGCGCUGACUUGGUAAGUCGAUCUACAAUCACCCGAACACCAUCAAAUCCAUUUCGUGUACGAGGGAGCUUAUACACGAAAUCCAUAGUUAUAUUUUCCCAUUUCCACUGAGGAACAGGAAGUGGUUGCAUUCGCCCAAAAAGCUUCUUUCUUUCCGCUUUGACUUGCUGACAAACAAUACACCUACUUACAUAUUCUGCAAUUUCUCUCUUCAUACCCGGCCAAUAAUAAAAUGGUCGAAUCGUAUGGUACAUUUUAGUUCCUCCUGGGUGCAUCGCAUAAGCUGAAUAAUGUGCUUCGUCCAAAAUUUCUUUCUUUAAUUCCUCAUUAUUCGGCACAUACAUUCUGUUCUCCUGCAUAAGCAUGCCAUCUGAUUCUCGAAUCCUAAGGUCUUUCUUUUUCCCUUCAUUUCUCAAUUGAAUCAUUUCUUGAAUUUCUUCAUCAACCAUCUGAGCUUCAAGUACAUGAUCAACCAAAACUGGCCUGACUUGGAAACUAGCAAGAAAAGCUUCUCUUCGAUCUUCUAACUCCAGCUUUACUCCAGUAGCUCUCAAUCCUGCAAGAAGAGGAAUACGGCAAGCAUACACAACAUAGAGGCGACCUUGAGGUUUCCUACUCAGUGCAUCAGCUACCACAUUAGCAUGACCCGGAUGAUACUCAAUAGUACAGUCAUAAUCACUUAGUAAUUCCAUCCACCUUCGCUGGCGAAGAUUAAGAUCAUGCUGAGUAAAUAGAUACUGAAGACUCUUAUGAUCUGUGAAGAUCUUACACUUCUCACCAUAGAGAUAAUGCCUCCAAAUCUUCAAAGCAAAGACAAUGGCUGCCAAUUCAAGAUCAUAAGUAGGAUAAUUCCUUUCAUGAAUCUUCAACUGUCGAGAAGCAUAAGCGAUCACUCUAUUAUGCUGCAUCAAAACACAUCCCAAACCAUUCAAAGAGGCAUCACUGUAAAUUUCAAAGUUACCACUAUCAUCAGGAAGUACCAAUAUUGGAGCAUGAGUGAGACAAUAUUUCAAUUGCUGGAAACUUUGCUUACAAUUCUCAUCCCACUCGAACUUAACAUCCUUCCUGGUUAACUUUGUUAAUGGCAAAGCAAUCAUAGAAAAAUCUUGAACAAACCGUCGAUAAUAACCUGCUAGACCAAGAAAACUCCGUACCUCAGUGACGGUUCGCGGUUGUUCCCAAUUUUCCACUGCUGCUAUCUUUUGAGGAUCUACUUGAAUUCCUUGUGCCGAUACUACAUGCCCCAAAAAUGCCACUUUGUUCAACCAAAAUUGACAUUUACUGAGCUUGGCAUACAACUGGUGCUCCCUCAAUUUCUUUAAUACCAAGUUAAGAUGUCGAAUAUGAUCUGCCUUAGACUUAGAGUAUACCAGAAUAUCAUCGAUAAAAACAAUAACAAAUUUAUCAAGAUAUUGCUGGAAUACCUCAUUCAUUAACAUCAUGAAAGCUGCAGGUGCAUUAGUCAAUCCAAAUGGCAUCACUAAAAAUUCAUAAUGUCCGUAACGGGUCUUGAAAGCCGUCUUAGGUACAUCUUCGUCUUUAAUCUUCAACUGAUAAUAACCAGAUCUUAAAUCAAUCUUAGAGAACACACACGCACCUUUCAAUUGAUAAAACAAAUCAUCGAUGCGAGACAAUGGAUAACGGUUUUUAAUCGUCACCCAAUUCAAUUGCCUAUAAUCAAUACAUAAUCUCAGAGUUCCAUCUUUCUUUCUCGCAAAUAAUACCGGAGCUCCCCAAGGUGACGUACUAGGUUGAAUGAAACCUUUAUCAAGUAAUUCUUGUAAAUAAAUUUUCAACUCUCUUAGUUCAGUUGGAGCCAUUCUGUACGGGGUUAAAGAUAUAGGAUCUGUACCUGGAAGCAAAUCAAUGGAAAAUUCCACAUCUCUGUCUGGCGGCAAUCCCGGCAAAUCAUCUGGAAAUACAUUAGGAUAGUGCCUAACUACUCCAACUUCCUCUACACUGUUAGGGGCAACAUCAUUUAACACCACAUGUGCUAAGUAUCCUUGAUAACCCUUCGAUAAUAAUUUCCUUGCCCUCAUGGCAGAAAUAACUCCAUGUCUCACCCCGCUUCUUUCACCCACAAAAGUAACCUCUGGUAAUCCAGGACGAUAAAAGGUAAUAGAUUUCCCGUAACAAUCAAUAUGGGCACGAUUAUAAUGCAACCAAUCUGCCCCUAGAAUCACAUCAAAAUCGACAAUAUCUAACGAGAUAAGAUUAGCUGGCAUAACUACACCUUCUACCAUCACUGGACACCCAGGAUAAACACUAUCAACAUAACAUUUAUCCCCUCUAGGCAUGGCAAACUCUAAAUCAAAUCCUAGAGGUGUAGGGUGAGGUUGUGUCAUUUGAGCAAACGUAUGAGAAAUCACAGAAUGGGUAGCACCACAAUCAAUCAAAACUCUAGCAAAGUGACCAAGGAUAUUUAACGUACCCAUAAUCAAAUUUGGAUGGUUCUGAGCAUCUUGUAGUGAUAUGUGAUUAACACGUACCUGAGCUUGCUGUCGUCCACCACGACCUCUGUUGCCUUGGUUACCUCACCCUUGUGAAGUACGUCCCUGUCCUGACUGAUUAGACUGCCUCGUUGAUCCUGCACCACUAGCAGCAACCUCUCCCUGACGAAGCUGACCUCCCUGAUGCCGCUGAGAUCCACUGGCAGGCAUAGAAGAAUAAAAAGGAUAACCCCUAGGGUCUUGGGAAUACCCAAUCUGAGAAUAAGGAUCUUGGGAAUACUGAUACUGUUCGGAAGCAUAGGGAGCAGCAUCACCUUGAUAGUGGUAAACACCACCACGACUCGUCUGACUAUAACUGCCUGAUCUAAAGUUCUGCUGAAUCGGCGCUGGAGGUGGCAUAGCAGACUGCUGAGACUUCUGUUGACUCUGGGGACACUGAGCAGCCCUAUGUCCCAUCUAUCCACAAGUGUAGCAAGCACCACCACUACCACUUCUCCUACACUCUCCAUGAUGUCUGAAGUUACAACGGUGGCAUAACGGAGCACCAGAACCACCAGCACCACCAAAAUCUCUCUGUCUCUGAAAUAUAGGCCCGCCAGCAAAUCUUCCACCUCUCCUCGAGCCUGUGACACUAAAUCCUCCACUGGAAGAACUCGAACUCGCUCCACUUUUCUUAAAAUUCUGUGUCUUACAAGGUCUCUGAGUGGAGAUACCCUUGCCCUUAUCAUCCUUCUUCUGACUAUCAUUCUUGUCCUCAUCAUCCUCACUGUCACUAGGAAGGUUGUCGGAAUCCUCCAUCCGAACCAGAAUCUCAAAAAACUCUUGAUAAUCGUUGCAAGGAAGUGCACUAGCAAAAGUCCGCCAUUUCCUCUUAGUUCCCAGCUUAAAACGACGAAGCAUCUCUACCUGAUUACCAACUGUAUCAGGAUCAUAACAAGACAAGUCUGUAAACUUCCUGUAAUACUCAUGUGCCGACAUAUUCUUUUGCUUUAAUCGAGGGAACUCCUGCUUCUUGCGAUCAAUGUACUCCGGAAGGACAAAUCUUUUCUUAAAAUGUUCCUUGAAUACUUCCCAAUCAGCUGCCAUCUCAGGGGACAUAAACUGAGUUUGAUUUUUCUACCAACCUGCAGGCUCUCGUCCCAAAAACCAAGUAGUGGUCUCAACCCAUCUAUUAGCAGGAAAAUUCCCUUGACUCUGCAUCACCUGAAAAGUCAUCUCAAUAUGGUCUAGCCACUUUUCUGCCCCUUCAUGACCUUCAUUACCCAUGAAAUGAUCUAAUUUCAGAUUAUACAUAGUCUCCAGGGGUGUCCUCUGAGGAGGAGGAUGGGGCAUAUUGCAUUCUGAAAGGCCUGUGCCAUCGCUUCCCCUAAUUGAGUUAUAUCAGGGAAAUUAGGUUUAGAAGCACGGUGUGACUCCCUACGAGGCGGAAUAAUUCUGACAGAAAACAUCAAAAGAUCAUUAGAGCAUUAACAAUUAUACAGGACUGUAACCUAGGCUCUGAUACCAAACUGACACACCCCGAACCUAGAAUCAAGGCGUGCUGGCCGCCACGUGAGUUUGACGUAACCAAAAGUGCGGUGCAGAAGCAAGGGAUAAGAAAAAUACGAAGGAAUAAAAACCAACUACUAGCAGUAAUAACCAACUAGCAUGCUAGAGUGAAUAUAAUUGUGCAGUACACCAGUUCAGAGCAUAAAGAAAACUAGGUGCAGUCAAGGAGGACUAUAAUUAAAGUACAACACCCGCAGGUGAGUCCUACGUGCAGGAAGUCUGUCAGAACGCCGAAGAAAACCUCGUGAGCCACCAACUGCUAACUAGAACCUGGAGGGGCGCAAAAACAAAAUUGAGUUUGCAGUAAAAUCAAAGUUUUCCAAAACAUUUCAUUAAAAAAGUUUCUAACCCCUCACUGUAAAACCCGUAUACUUUCCCAGAAAAUAACAUAGUAGCUUAUAAAACCUCAUACAUCACAAGUCACCAAUCUAUCACAAAUCCAGGAAUAUGCCAUGCCAUAAAUGUCAAUAACAAAACAUAGAUGCAUCAAAAUAACAAGUGACAUAAUGAAUUAACUGGAGACCCUGCAGUUGGUCCUGUAUGGUUAAUUCCAUAGUUCAAUAUCCAACCCAGCCGGAGUCACCACGGUGACCUGUACGACACUACUCUGCACAUAAGUCAGAACUACUUGAAGUAGUCUGUAUGACAAGAAUGGUGUAAUGAUACGCUAUAGUGCUUCUCUCAUCAAUCAUCUGCACGUGUAAUCUAAGGUCACCUACUAGUUGGAACCACCUCUAGUGGUCUGUACAACUAGCAUGUCGGAACCCUCUCAUGGUCUGUACGACAUGCACCUACUUGGAUCCAAGGUGAGCGUGCGGUGCGGUGAAUAAUAUAAGCACUAACACCAGGGUGCAGGUUAUGAGCUCUCAACACAAUUCGCAUCAUCAAUGAUUCACAUAAGUAACAUAAAACUCACCUGAUACUCACCUGUGCGUCCACAGCACCAAUUCACUUAUAUAUAUGCAUUCAUAUCCAUUCAUAUAAUUCAUAAUAUGCAUGCAUGGCAAUUGAAAACAUACUUUCAUAUAAAUUCAAUUUCUGGGAAAAUUAAUAGCAUAUAGGUAUAUACUGAAAACAAAACUGCCCACUCACUGGUAAGUCGAUGGGUCGUAACCCCCGUGGCGUCCCUAGAUGCGCUCGUCCUCGGGAUAGGUGUCACCUAUAUGUGAAACAACUAUAAAAACGUUAAUUAAUGCACAUAACCAAUAAUUCGAAAUAACUUGUCAUACGGUGCCCAAUUUGGGUAUAUGAAUAUACCACAUCGACCUACUCGACGUCACGGACGUCGAGAAAUUUUUAGAAUAUUUUUUUGACGUGGCACACGCCCCCACGCAUCGGGAAGGGCACGGGUUCACACGCCCCCACGCGCGUCUUCUUCCUCGAGCUCGUCAGACUGAGUUUUCCGGUGGCCGGAAAACUGGAGAUUUUUUAAUUUCCUUGUUCUCCGUCGUUUCUCAACCGUUUUCUUCGUAUUUUAUAUCAAUUUGAAGCCCUCAAACAACUAAAUCUCACCGGAAAAAUUUCAAGAAAAACCGGCCAACUUCGAACUCGACGAUCUCGACGUCCAAAACCUUCCAACUAGGUACCCGGAGCUUCCUUAGGACCUCACUAAGCUCACUAUAAGGUUGGAUUGUCUUAAAAAUCAACCAACACAAAGUUCAUGAAUAGUGCCAAACUCGGACCUCGAGUUUUCAACGUGAAAACGAAGGGUAUCUUACCUGAAAUGGGUGUGGUUGAGUUCGUAGAGUCCUCACGAGCACGAUGGUGCCUUCAAAAUCCUCGAUCCACGAAGUUUUAGGGUUUUAUGGUGUUGGUCUGUGCGGUUCAAGAGGGAGAGAGAGAUUGAUAUGGAGAGGAGAGAGAGAAGGCACGGGGAAGGAAGGGUUAUCCUGUGUGUGUAGGUGUGUGGUUCCUCAAAACCAUUCCCCCUUAUUUUCCUAACCACAUAAUUUACAAACCAAUUUUUAAUCCAACUUAAAAUAUUUUCCAAAAGCUUGAAAUAUAUGAAUUUAAUCCAACUAAUAUGUCACACACACACACACACACACACAUACCUUAAUACCCGUCAAGGGCAAUUCCAUCAUUUCACGUUCCCGAUAUAAAAAAUCCCGAGAUGGGCUGUGACAAUUAUUAUGGGUUUUUGUUAGAAAAAUAUAUUAUUGUGUGGUUUAAGUAAAAAAAAAAAAAAUUUGAACUUGAAAGGAGUAAAGUCACAUUUUCAAUAAAUUUUGUAAUAAUUUUCUAAAAAUAAAAAUAACUUGCGUGACGCUUUAAUGUAAUCGUCGCGCAAAACCACUUUGCGGGACGUCAAAUUGUAUACCUACGUCACGCCAGUUGAUAAUUUUGGCGGUGAAUAAUUAAAAAGAGGUGAAUAAUGAAAAUUUUUGGUGCUGAACCCGUUGACCUAUUUCUUCCAUUUCGCUCAUUCUUUCCCGUAUCUCCCCUUCCCUUUCGCAUAAUCCUUCAUCUUUCCCUUUCGCAUAAUCCUCAUAUCUCCCUCUCGCCCUCUCGCUCUGUCUUCCCCGUCACUCUAUCUCCCUUUUCCAUAAUUCUCAUCUACUCUUCCCGUAGUCCUCAUCUCCUCUAUCUCUCCUGUUCGACUUGAUCCCCAAAUCUUGAACCCAGACCUGUCUUCCCUCUCUCUUUCCCGUAUACCUCUAUCUUCCCUUUCGUACUAAACAACGGGCAGCUACACGAAUCUCGAAACCGACGUGAAUUAAGUCUCAAAAUCAAGGUAAGGGUUUCUGAUGCAAAUGUUGGUCUGGUUACUGAAUUUAACUGAUGCAAAAUGUUGGCCUAGUUACUGAAUUUAGUUGGUCUGAUGCAAAAUUAAGGUUGAAUUGAUUUAAUUAAUUUAUUGAAUUUAGCUCACCUGAUGCAAAUGUUGGUCUUUGGUUACUGAUUAAUUUAUGAAUAUCUCUGAUUUUAUGAGAUGGGUUUUGUUUAGUCUCCAACAUUCGAAGGCUUGACGUUCGAAGGCUUCAACAUUCGAAGGCUUGACUGAUUAAUUUAUGAUUAUGAGAUGGGUUUUGUUUAGUCUCCAAUAUCUCUCAAUAUCUCUGAUUUUAUGAGAUGGGUUUUACUGAUUAAUUUAUGGUUUGGUUGAAAUAGCAAUUAAGUCUCCAACAUUCGAAGGCUUGACGUUCUUGUGUGAUGUUUUUCUCCCUCUAUGUGCAGACGGUUCCUGCUUGUCAAAAUCUCCAAGGCUUGACGGUUCCUGCAGACGGUUCCGGCUUGACGUUCUUUGCUACUCCGUAUGAAUUAGCUUGAGGGUGAGCCUAUCAGUGUCCCUCACCUACUUGUAAACAGCAGCUUCUCAGCAGCCUCACCUACUUGUGGGGUUUCCUUCUUUGAAUGGUUUUUCCUCUUGGGUUGUUGUGUUUUUGGAUUCUCAAAUUGAUUAAUCGUCCAGCGAUUUCAGCUCAAGGAUCAAAAGCGAUUUUGGCCUCUUCUUUUUUGCUUUGGGUUUUAGUUGAUUAUAUGUAAAGCUGGAUUCUAGAACUCAAUUACAUGUACAAGAACAACAAAAAAGUGACACAACUUGCAUAAAACAUUAGUUACUUUGAUCUGUCGUGUUUUAGGCUGCCUAGUUCACCUGUUUUCUUAAACAAGAUUGUCUCUACUAGCCAACCUUAAGCAUUGAAAACGUAGGUAUUCCUGGCCUUUCUGUUCGUCUUCGAUUACGAUCUGUUUGGUUUAACUUUUCUGCACUAAUUUGAUUAUUUAUAUAUUGGUGGUGUUACUUUUGUUUCAACUUUUCCCUUUUUUUUUUUUUUUUAACUUUUGGUCCAAUGGUUUUUAAUCGCGUAAAUUUUGAUGCUUUCUUGUUGUCGUCUUGUUGCCAUGAUUGAUCCCUAGAAGUCUUGUUGAUUGCAUUUAGGCAUCUUUCUCUAGCCUUUCUCUGGGAGCGAUUCAAAAUCUGUUUAUUAGCACCUCAUCAAUAGUAUAUAUGAAGAAGUUUGUUACUUGAAAAUUAGUUACUUUGAUCUGUCGUGUUUUAGGCUGCCUAGUUCACCUGUUUUCUCAAACAAGAUUGUCUCUACUAGUCAACCUUAAGCAUUGAAAAUGUAGGUAUUCCUGGCCUUUCUGUUCGUCUUCGAUUACGAUCUGUUUGGUUUAACUUUUCUGCACUAAUUUGAUUAUUUAUAUAUUGGUGGUGUUACUUUUGUUUCAACUUCCCCCCCCCCCUUUUUUUUUUUAACUUUUGGUCCAAUUGUUUUUAAUCGCGUAAAUUUUGAUACUUUCUUGUUGUCGUCUCGUUGCCAUGAUUGAUCUCUUGAAGUCUUGUUGAUUACAUUUCUCUAAGAAGCAUCUCGUCCUCUGUGAAAGUCAAUUUUUACACAUGGUUUAUUUAUUCAGUUUUCUUGCCCUUUUCUUCUAGUUUCAAAUGCAAGAAAUGAUUAGUUUCUAAUGUUAUAUUUUUAUGGUUCAAAAAGUGUAGAUGUCGCGGUAGAUCACUCGUCGUAGGAGUGUGACCAAUGCGCCUCCCGCAUUAUCACCAUCUACUGCUCCGGCCGUGAUUGCUCUAUUGAUUGGGGAGCCUACAUCCUUCACUAAGGCUAUUGCUAUGACGUCCCAGGUGCCAUUAUCAUCGACGUCAUCAGUGUCGGUUCAAUUUCUCAAUGCACGACGACCUCACCGGCGCUGCUGUGAUUCGGAGCCUUCUGUUCACAAUUCCUCGUCAUCCAGAGUCGAGGAUGGGGGCUCCCCACCAGGUAGUUUUUUUUUUCUAAUUCUCACUACGUUGUAUUUUUUUUUCAUUUUAAAACUACUAUUUUUAUGAUUAUGAAAAUUUGCUGGAUUAUGAAAAUGUGUUGCGGGUUGUAAAUUACUGUUAUUUUACUUUUUUAAGGUUUUGGGAAAUGAUAUACUAUGAGGGGAGGUUUUGUAGAAUUUUUUGUAGAAAUUUAAGCUUAGGGUUUUCACCAUAGUUUUUUUGGGCAGCUAAAAAAAAUACCAGGGGGCCUAAUCGAAUGCUGAAGGCGGCACAGAUGGUACGUCUGUCCGCCUCCUUGAUCGAGAUUGCAUAUGACUCGCGACAUCGUGGAGCGGCUACCUCACAGCAGCAUAGUAUCGUCGUUACUAGCUGUGGUUAUGUUAUUAAAAAUUGUUGUCCUAUGUAGUGGGAAUCUUGGGCAGAAAUUCCCGAGGAGAUGAAGAUACUGGUGCGAGACAAGUUGUCGGUUAGUAUAUUAAUUUUUAGCCUUUUAUCAUUUUUUUUCAAUUAUGUUUACAAAUAUUAUAAACCAAAGCAUACUAUCUUAAUAUUAUUAAAUUUCUUACUAUUAUUUUUUGUUUUUCAUAUUUGUAGGUCAAUUUUGAUUUUAAGGACAUAUCCCCCGAGGUCAUCACCUACUUAGAUGAGACCUUCGCAAACCGGUACAAAAAUUGGAAGAGCGAUCUUCAUGUGCAUUUUAAGAAAUGGGGUGAUCUCGAGACUGCUUGCCUAGAGGGUUGCCCAUCCGAGUUGGCGGACCGGCGAGAGGAUUGGGAGUGGCUCUGCAAUCAUUUUACGGACCCAAAAUUUGUGGUAUGUACAUAAUAUUUUAAUAAUAAUUCAUUAAUGUUUUAGUUAUUUUUUAAGCAUUUUAAAAUAAUUGCUUUCACAUCGUCGCACUAACAUCUAUAUUAUGUGUUUCACAGAAGAAAUCUAUUGCUGACAAGAUUGCUCGGGAGUCAAAGACACUUCUCCACCAUUCCGGUUCGAAGCCUUUUUCGUAUAGGCUUGAGGCACGACGUGAGGUAAAAGUAUAUUACUUUUGAAAUUUUAUACAAUUUAUUUUUUAUUAUUGAUUAAUAAAAUUUUCUUAAUGUUUUUUUCCUUCAGGAGGGUUCUAAGUUCCCAGAGAUCGACUUGUUCAAGGACGUUUACGUUUAACCUGACGAUGAGACCAGUGAGCAGCUUUAUGUAAUUAUAUGUAAUUGUUAUUAUUCUUAUAUUUAUGAAUCGGUGAAAUAUUAUUUAUAUUUUGUUAUUAGUCAUUAUAUGUUUUUUCUUUAUUACUACAGGCUUCUAUGGUGGAAAAGCGCGCUGUUGUUCUCCAAGAAGCAACAUCGCAACUUCCCCCGGAUACAUCGAUUGAGGACGUUACUGUACCCGAGGAUGCAGGUUUUGAGAUCAUGACUGAGGUCCUAAAUCAGAAGUUCGGUCGUCGUCAUGGCAAAGUUGUUCGGGGCAUGGGGAAGGUGCGUGUUCGUGAAACGGGUGCCUCCUCUUCCAGAUCGACCACAGGAGAGGUCGAUGCUUUGAAGGAGAAAGUGACAACCCUAGAAGGUCAGCUUGUAGCCCAGGACGAGCAGAUAAAGGCCCAGAAUGAGCAGAUGAGGGUUCAGAACGAGCAGCUGAGGGCCGAGAACGAGCAGAUGAAGGCCUAGGUUAGGACCCAGGAUGAUCAGAUGAGUAUGAUUCUACAGGCCUUAGCGAUGUCCGGUCUUCAAAUCCAGAUGCCAUCACCUGAUCUUGCUCCACCUUCGACUUCCCAGCCACUUCGUCCAGCUGAUACCUAGUAGUUUGACGUAUCAAACCUAGAAGACUACUUAUUGUAGUUUUUUCUUUUUUUGUUCGGACAUCUUGUAUGUACAUUUUCAUAUAGUUUAUAAUUAAAUACUUUUUAUUGGUUUAUUAUUUAUUUUUUAGAAUUGAAUUACAAUAUUUAUUAAAAAUUAAAUCAAAACUUUUUUUGUUCCAAAAAAAAAAAAAAGUUUGCGUGACGAAGAAGUUGCAUAGGUCACGCAAAGUGUCUUUGCGUGGCGCACAAUCCUACAUCGCGCAAUUUUUUUGUCCCAAAAAAAAAAUAGUUUGCGUGAUGAAGAAGUUGCAUAGGUCACGCCAAGUGUUUUUGCGUGACGCACAAUCCUACGUCGUGCAAUUUUUUUGUCCAAAAAAAAAAGUUUGCCUGACGAAAAAGUUGCAUAGGUCACGCAAAGUGUCUUUGCGUGACGCACAAUCCUACGUCGCGCACUUUUUUUGUCCAAAAAAAAAGUUUGCGUGACGAAGAAGUGUAAUGGUGCGUUGCACAAAGACACUUUGCGUGACGUAGGAUUGUGUGUCACGCAAAGACACUUUGCGCGAUGUAGGGUUGCACGUCGCGCAAAGACACUUUGCGCGACACAUGCAACUUCUUCGUCACGCAAACCCUGCUUUCACAGGCUUGGCGCGACGCUUGGUGCGUGACGAAGGACCAACGUCGCGCAAAGCAUUUUUUGUACUAGUGUUUUAUAGUGAUUACAAGAAGUAUUUGGAUGAAGAACAAACCCUUCAAACCAAGGAAAAGUAUUUGGAUGAAGAACAAACUCUUCAAACCAAGGAUAAUUUACAUAUAAUACAAAUGAUACAUAACCUAUUUAAAUUCAAAAUACUUUCAACAGAUAAGGCUUAUUUCAGCCUUCCUUUUGACUAAUCUGGUUUCGAUCUUCAGUGAUUAUUGUGGCGGGAACCUUUGAAUUCGAACUUGGUUUAUCACACUCCCGCAAGCUGAGCGGUCACUGGUGAACGGGAAGCUUGGACAAAAGAUAGUUGAAACGAUAAGUAGAUAGGCCUUUAGUAAAAAAAUCGGCAACCUGAUCUUGGGUAGCGACAUAGCCCACCUGAAGUUCACCACGAGUAACCUUCUCACGAAUAUAAUGAUAGUCAACUUCUACAUGAUGUGUCCGUGCAUAGAAGACUGGAUUGGAGGCCAUGGAAAUAUCAUAAAUAUUGUCACACCAAACCUUUGGGGGAGAAAGUCGUAGAUGAAGAUCAUUGAAUAUCUUUCGAAACCAUGAAAUUGUGGCGGCUGUAAUUGCAAGUUGACGAUAUUCAGACUCUGCUGGAACUGGAGACUCCUCUUUGUUUCUUGGAACUCCAGGAUACAAGAUUAGAACCAAGGAAAAUGCAAUAGCCGUCUGUAGAGAUGCGGUCAUCGGGAUCUCCCGCAUAAUCUGAAUCUGCAAAGGUCGAAAUGGUUAGAGGUCCAGGUUUAUAAACACGGCCAUGGUUGGGUGUGGAUUUCAAAUAAUGAAGAAUUCAUUUGACUGCAAUCUAGUGUGUAGUGGUAGGUUUGUGCAUGAACUGGCAAACUUGAUUAACGGAAAACGCAAUAUCCGGACGUGUAAACGUGAGAUAAUGAAGAGCACCGACCACACUUCGAAACUCAGUAAUGUCUGAUAGUGUUCGCCGUCGUAGAGACUAAGUCGUUUGCCACUGAUUGCCGGGGUAGAAACUGGUUUGCAAUCAACCAUAUUAUUACGUUUAAGAAGAUCUAUGAUGUACUUGGACUGAGAUAAAUGCAUUCCAUUGGCAGACUGAUGAACCUCCAUGCCUAAAAAGUAAUUCAAAGGCCCAAGAUCCUUCAUGGAGAAAACGAUGCCUAUAUCCCGUAUUAAAGUAUUAAUACAUUGAGUAUUGCCUGUAAUGAGAAUAUAGUCAAUGUAGAUGAGUAAGUAGAUUCGAACCGAACCAUGGCAGUAAACAAAAAGAGAGGAAUCUGCCUGAGAAGCUACAAAGCCAAGAUGUUCCAAGUGGUUGGAAAAACAUUGAAACCGCGCCCUUGGGGCUUGCUUAAGACCAUAGAGAGAUUGUUUGAGUUUACAAACAUGUGUUGGAAAUUGAGAAUCAACAAAACCUAUGGGUUGUUUCAUAUAGACCUCAUCAGACAGAGAACCAUGAAGAAAAGCAUUUUGUACGUCCAGUUGUCGAUUGGGCCAAGCAAACUGCACAGCCAGGGCAAUGAUAAGACGGAUAGUGGAAUGAGUAACCAAGGGACUGAAUGUCUCCCCAUAAUCUAGAUCAGGUUGUUGAUGAGAACCAUUUGCAACCAGUCGAGCUUUGAACCGGUUAACAGAGCCGUCCGGUUUCCGUUUGAUUUUGAAAACCCAUUUGUUGGGGAGAACAUUCAUGGAAGGAUGGUAGGGAACCAAUGAUCAGGUGCCAGCACGUUAAAGAGCAUUGAACUCAUCAGCGAUUGCAAUUCUUCAUUCUUGAAAUUUUUGAGCCUGACUGUAACAGGUGGGCUCAGUCAAAACGUUAGUGGUAGAGAUAUGGGCAUACUUAGCGUUAGGUUUAUGGAUGGAACAAGGAUUGUCUGCCCUCCUACUUCCGGUGCCUUCCUGUUUGUGUGAUCACGAUUAAGUCACGUCAACAUUUUAUAUUACUAUUCAUUUUUGUCUUAUUAUCUCUAUAAAAAAACAAUAUAAAAUAUUGACGUGGCUUAAUUGUGACCACACAAAAUAGGAGGGCAUGAAAGAGCACUGAAAGUAGGAGGGCAGAGAAUCCUUGUCCUUAUCGAUGCCAUCUUUGGCACGAGUUAUCAUGGGGUGAAGUAAGGUUGGUUCUGAAGGUGGCAGGGGUAUGGCGUUGGAUAGACUAGAGGAGUCGAAAACUGAUGUGGGGCAGGUUGGUGUUGAAAAUAGUUCUGAAGGUGGCAGGGUAAGGGAAGUAGGGGUUAAGGCAUGGGAUAGGGUAGGUGAGGAUGGACAUAAAGGUACUGUAUGAGAAGAAAGUGAAUAAGAAGAAGAAGAAGUGUGUGGUUGUGGAUGUGAUAUGAGAGAAAGAGACAGUUGUUGGUGGGGUAGGGUAGGGGCCGAAGUUAAUGGGAUUCAUAUGGGAAAAAAUAAGGACAAGGUUUAUCUGCCCUUCACUUUCGAUGCCCUUGCCAUGCUCUCCUAUUUUAUAUGAUCAUGGUUAAGCCACGUCAAUAUUUUAUAUUGUUUUUUUUAUAGAUAUAAUAAGACAAAAAUGAAUAGUAAUAUAAAAUGUUGACGUGGCUUGACCAUGAUCACACAAAUAGAAGAGCACGGGGAGGGCACCGAAAGUGGAGGGCAGACAAUCCUUGUCCAAAAAAUAAUUCAGAAGAAGUACUAUCAGGUAUUAGAUAUGCAGGAGGAGCAGCACUGGACAAUUCUCGAAAUGGGAAACAAUGUUCAUAAAAAAAGAGGCGGAUUGUCUGACCUCUCAUUUCCAUACUCUUUCUAUGCCCUCCUGUGAUGUGUGGUCACGGUUAAGCCACGCUACGUCAACAUUUUAUAUUAAUUUUUUUAUAAAAAUAAUAAAACAAAAAGUAAUAUAAAUAUAAAAUGUUGACAUAACUUAACUGUAACCACACAAACAGGAGGGGAUGAGAAGAGUAUGAAAAUGAGAGGGUAGACAAUCCACCUCCCAUAAAAAAUGACAUGCUUAGACAUAAAGACACGACCUAUUGACGGAUCAAGAUACCUAUACCUAAGUUGAUGGAGUGAAUAUCCUAAAAAAAUACAUUUUUGGAACGAAAUUCAAGCUUAUUAGACAUGUAUGGACGUAAAUAUGGAAAACAUGCAUAUCCAAAAACUUUGAAAAAUUCAUACGAUGGUUCCCGUUGGAAUAAUUUUGUGUAUGGAGAAAUGAGAUUGAGAACUUUGGUUGGCAGGCAAUUAAUGAGAAAAUUAGGUGUAUGAAAAGCCUCAACCCAAUAAUUUUGAGUCAUGGAUGCACGGGCAAGGGGAGUGAGUCCAGUUUCAACCAAAUGACGGUGUUUGCGUUCGGCCAUACCAUUUUGUUCAGGAUGGUGAGGACAAGUGUAUUGAUGAUGAAUGCCAUGUUUUUCCAACUAAGUUUUGAAAAGAUUAUUGAUAUAUUCACCUUCUCCAUCUGUUUGAAAAGUUUGAAUUUUACGUUGAAAUUUAUUCUCCAUUUCAGUUUUAAAUUUUACAAAAGUGGGAAACACAUUAGAUUUUAAUUUUAAAGGAUAUAACCAAGUAUAUUGGGAAUAAUCAUCAAUAAAAAUAACAUAAUAAAAAAAUCUUGAAAUUGACAAAGUUGGUGAUGCCCAUACAUCGGAAUGAAUGAGUUGUAAAGGAAAAUGUGAUAUAGAAUUAGAUAAAGGGAACGACAAUUUUUUACUUUUGCCUAGAGGGCAUGAAUGACAUAUAGAAUUGAAAGACUGCCUCGUAAGAGGCAGUUUACUAGUGGACACUAAAUGCUUUAAAAUAAAAGAUGAUGGAUGACCAAGUCUGGAAUGCCAGACACAAUCAUCAACUUUGACUCCCAUGCAUGCAAAGAAUCCAUGGCUUUUAUUGGAAUUGAAACUUGCAUAUGGAUAUAGUCCAGUGCUACUCCGGCCUGAUAAAAGGAUCUCCCCGUUCGGAUAUCCUGAACACGAAAGAAAUGUGGGUGAAGGACAAAAAAACAAUCAUUAUCAGAAGAAAAUUGAUUGAUAGAUAUGAUAUUUUGAGAAGCAUUGGGACAAUAUAAGGUAUUAGAGAGAGUGAAAGAUUUAGUGGGAGAGUAGAUGUAGGAUGUUCCUAUGUGAGAAAUGUUCAAACCUUGACCACCAUUUAUGCCAUUGACGUGAUCUGAGCCGGUAUACAUCUGUGCAUUUGUGAGUUGGCCAGGAUCAUUGGUUAUGUGGGCAUUAGCACCGGAAUCGAGCAACCAAGUGGUUGGAGCAGUGGGUGUUGAGACGCCACUAGGAGUUUGAGCAGCAAGAGCCGUGAGGUGAGCACUGGGAACAUGACCUUCAUAGGCAGUGUUCAUGCGAUUAUAACAAUCUAUGGUAGAAUGGCCAUUGUGACGACAUAUUUGGCAUCGUAGGAGAGGCGAUCACCAGAAGGAGGACCUGCACCUAGGACUUCGAAAUGACUGAGAAGAAACUACACUACUGCCAGUAGGGCGAGAAAAAACCCCAGCGUGGCCACCACUACGGGAACCACCAAUGCGUCCACUACCGCGUCCACGGUUAGCAGCCAUCGCAGUCAUGGGAGCAAAGAGAGUGUCUCCGGUCAAAGUAAAGGUGAGAUGACGUCUCUCAGCACUAAGGAGCAGUGCUUUCAACGCUGCAUAAGAAAUGGGAGACUCAUAGGCUUGGAUGGAUGCCACAGUAUUCUCGUACAAGGGUGCAACGUUGUUCAAGAUUGUAGCAAUCAAAUCAUUAUCAGACAUGGAAGCACCAGACAAAGCUAAUUGAUCAGCCAAAUUAUUAAUUUUAUCCAAAAAAUCAGCGAUGCUAAGAUCACCGGGACGAAGGUUGAGGAGUUCUCCACGUAGUUGAAUGACUCGAUUAUGAGAGGAAGGUGCAUACCGUUCUUGCAAGGCUGUCUAAGCUUCGGCAGCACUAACACACCGGACAAAGACAUGUAUGACAGGAGGAGAGAGGGAACUGGUGAUCCAGAAAGCACCAUCUGAUCAUGUUGAAUCCAUGGUUCAAAAAGAGGAUUGAUGGCAUCAGUAAUUUGACUAGCAUCAUUUGACAAAAAUGCCGGGGGACAUUUGGAUGUGCCGUCAAUAAGGGGCAGGAGACUUCGACUGCGAAGUAAAGGGACAAACUGUGCUCACCACAAAGGGUAAUUGUGACAAUCAAGUUUUAAGGGUAGGAAGGCAGAAACAUUGGUGAGAGGAGUGGCAGCGGAAGAGGCCAUGAGGAUUGAGAAGGAAGAAUUGUCGGCAGACAUUGGGAAUGAUGAUACCAUAUAAGAAAAGUGCUCGAUGAUAUGAGCGUAUUCCAUUUGAUGUUUUUAUAGUGAUUACAAGAAGUAUUUGGAUGAAGAACAAACUCUUCAAACCAAGGAUAAUUUACAGAUAAUACAAAUGAUAAAUAACCUAUUUAAAUUCAAAAUACUUUCAACAGAUAAGGCUUAUCUCAGCCUUCAUUUUGACUAAUCUGGUUUUGAUCUUUAGUGAGUGUUGUGGCGGGAACCUUUGAAUUCGGAUUGGGUUUAUCACCAUAUAUGUUAAAAGCUCACACAUUAUCAGAAAAUAGGGUUAUCCUACGAAACCUUGCCCGAUGGAAAAAAAUUCAUCAGCUAAUAAACAUUUUAUUUGAGGAAAUAACCAGUUUGUAGGGCAAAUUUGGUCAAUAUUAUGGGUUUACUCAAAAUUUUUUGGAGACAAAACGUCGUAGGGCAAGAUUUUGGCGCCAAGGAAAAAAUUUGGCUCACAAUUCGUUAAGGAUUGUGGGACGGAACAUUGGUUAGUCGGCUAAGUUCAGUUUGCCGGAUGGACAGUUCCUUCAACUAACGGUUUCAAUUCAUCUAGUAAAGGACCACACUAAAGUGUUAAAAAACGAGUAAAACAUGUUUGCUCGACGACUGAGCGACGGUGCCCGUAGAGGAUUUUCGUCAGGCAAACCCUACUUUACCAUUUAGGUCCGUGCCUUCUUCUUUCUCUCCAUUUUCUUUUCUCUGCUUCCCCCCUCCGCGACUGUUGCUUCUCCGUGCAUCUCUCUAUCUCUCUCUUACCCACAAACACACACUCUCUUCUCCAUCUCUUCCUCUCCCAAUUAAUUGAAGAUUAGUUUAUUUUUAUUUGUUGAUGAAUUUUUUUCUUCAAAUGUGUAAUUAAUUAAUUUUGAUUUAUGUAGGUUUGUGACUGGAUUGGAAGUAAAUUAAAGGAAUGUAUGUAUUUGUCUUAAUUAUAUAUAGUAACCUUGAAUUUAUUUAAUUGUAAAUUAAAGGAAAUGUAUGACUCCUUGAUUUAUUUAAUUAUGAUAUUUAUAUAUGUUGAAAUUUUGUAUGAUGUGAAAUUUUGAGUUUGUGUUAUUGAAAUACAUGUAGAUUAGGUGAAUUUAAUUUGUGCAGCAUUAGUGUAAGAAUUCGUAGUGUGAAAUUUGUUAAAAUUUCAUAGCCAUUUAUAUAUAUGAAGUUAAUUAUGUUGAUUAAAUUCGUAUAAUAAAUUUGAAAAAACCUUAGACCCGUUUGAGAUUCUAUUGGACGCAUGUGUAGAAGCAGUAUGCCGCUUCGCGAUCUAACUGAAUCAUGAAUUGUCCAGUUCAUGAGUGCACUAGUAUGUGUUUAUGGUUUGCAAUGAACUUGGCUAAGUUCCGUUCGUGGAAAAUUCCGUUGUAUCCCCCUAAUGUUCUUUGAGUGCAUCCUAGAUAUUUAUCUAAUAUCUACGUUGUGCACUUGAGGAACCCUGGGAAGAUGCUGCCAAAUGUUUUACGAUUAGAAAUAGUUGCGUGCCUGGCAAACCGCUAGAUAGAAAGUGCAUUUUCGAAUGAGAUAGGAUCAUUACCGGAGGCAUAAGGGGGUGAUGAAGUGUGUUUUAAAUCAUUAUGAUGAGUAAAUUCUCUGAAUACAGGUGCAAUGGACAAGGAGUUGAUCAAGUUGCAAGAUAGAAGUUGGACCAAUAUGUGGAUGGGAUCGACAAUUUUAUUCAAUUUGCAGGCAACCAUAUCAGUGCUUAGAAUCGUAUUAGGUGUCCUUGCAUGAAACAUAAUAAUUGUGUUUGGAUGGCAUUGGACAAAGAUCGAUAUCACUUGUAUUCGAAAGGGAUGGUACACGGUUAUUCCAAUUGGACUUAUCAUGCAAAAUCACCCAUUACAGUGUCAACGUCUUCCGGUAGUGGGGACAUUUUGGCAUGCGCCCUCUACAUAUAGCCAUGGUGAUGACAACCAAGUGAUGGAGAUAUUGAAUUAUGCUUUCCCUAAUGCUUGCUUAAUAUGGACAAAGAGCUAUCCACAAAUCCCGAGAAGUACGAUAAAUUGUUAAAGGAAGCUAAGCGAGAAUUGUACUUGGUUGUGAAGAUUUUUCUAUCCUAACAACAUUGUAGAGUUGAUGCACUUGAAAAUAUAGUACAAUAUGACCAAUUGAAACUACGAUAUGAUGAUGGGGAUUUUUAAAUGUAUGCUUUUGAAACCAAAUGGUCCAAGAAUAAUUUCAUCAAAAGCGCUUUCAGUUAUUUAAAAAACACUUUCAAACACAUUAUAUAUCAAAUGCUCUAUUUUAAUUCACAUAUAUAUUGGUCCUAGUAAUCAAUGGGAAGAAAAUCACCCCGUUAGGGUUGUAGUCACCAAUUGUCCUUACCCUCCCUCCACUGUUAAAUACCUUAACAAUGUAAUCUAUCAUAUGUGGAGCCUAAAAUUAUCCCAAAAAUCCUAGAGGCGACACGUGGACUUUUGCUAAAGAAAUAUAAGAUUGCCCUCAUUUAAUGGGCAGGCUUCUCAGAUUCUCCCACGCACAGCUCAGCACCCUUAAAGGUCUAAGUAGCUGAAUACAAUUGCCCCAGCUCACCUGCCCUUGGCAAGGAAAAGUCAAAGCAUUAAAGAUAAGGAUUAAUUACCCAAAUCCUAUUUUUAAUACAUUCCCAAUUGAAGAUUGACUUAAUUCAAGAUCUUUUUUCCUAUUUAACAUCUUGAGAAUAUUUCUCCAUAAACCUUGGCCAAUAGGAUGCUGCCAUGUGUAAGGUAAAACCCUAACACCAUGGCCGGCCACUCCCCUAUAAAUGUUGGAAGUAUGCCCACAAAGCCACUCAUUUGAUGUAAUAGCUUUUUGGAAUACUUAUUGUAUUAAACUUUUAUAUGUUUAAUGAAGGGCAAAUCUUAUUGUUAAUCACUAUUUAUUGUAUCAUGUGUUUAAGCAAUAAGGGAAUCCAAGGAAUGUAUUUGUUCUAAGAGAUAAGUGAUCUAAUGAGUUAGAUUAUCGAGACCUUUCUCUUAUGUUCAUUCCUAAAACGUUCCUAGCCAUAGGAUUGCUAAUUGGGCAUUGACAAUCCGCUAAGGCUAGUAUGUGUUAUGUUGACUCAAUCGUGAGUAUAACUAGUCUCAAGUCAUUUGGUGUUGGACACUAAGACAAACACAUAGGUGCUCGAAAGAGUACUCGAGUUCACUGAACGACGAUCAAAAGAGAGUUCGAACAUACAUGUCAUGUAUGAACUCUAAGGUUGCAAUAUGCAAAGUAGUCCUUUGACCUGAGGCAUCAUCGAUGUCUAAUGAUUAGGUCCUUGAUCUUUGAUCCUGUCAACGGCAUUCCUUUGGAGUGUCCACGGCAUUGUUGGGGUCAAGCUAUCUAGUCAUGUAGGCAUAUGAAUGCACAACAAGGGAUCUCUAACCUUCCAUGGUGGAGGGAGAAUACUCUAAGAUAUGAUUCUAAAGUCUUUGGCCAAAGCAAAUGAAUAUGACUUAGGAAGUUUGUUCCAAAUCAUAUUCAAGGGAAUCAUAUAGGAAAGUAUCACAUUGGAUAGUGGACAUGAAACAAACUAUCACUUAAACAAUGUGAUUAAGAGUAUUGUAUUAGAGAAGGACCGUAUUGCAUUGUAGUUGUAACUGGAUAGGUUCUCCAACCAAUUCUACUUAGCUUGGGUAAUCAUGAUAUGCUGCUAGGCGUCACUCAUGGUUUGUGGAAGCCCUAAUGGUUAGCAAACACUAAUCAACAAAAAGGGAGAAUUGAAAUGUGGUUUCAAUUCACAAUCGAUCGUUAAGAGUAACAUCGCCCACUGCCUCGCUAAAUAGAACCUAAUGGAUCGUACACCGAGUAAGGAUGUAUGUGAAGAAAUUAAAUGAGAUGGAUAAGCAAUUAAAUGGUUUAAUUGAAGAAUGGUCAAGAUUAAUUAAUUAGUUAAUUAAUUAUACGAAAGGUUCGUAUUGGGCUUAUAUGUUGGUUUUGGGUUUCGGGGCCCAAAAGCGUUUUGGUCCACAAGGCCCAUUAUGUUUAAGAUGUAUGACAACUAAAACAAAAUGGGCAAAUUAGCCCAAUAACAAAGGAUGGCCGGCCAUUAGGGUGGAUGGGCAAAGUUUGCUUAAUUACAAGUUUGCCACUCACCAAAGAAAAGGUUAUAAAUACAACUUUAUAGCUAUUUUCUAAUAAGGGUUCUUCUUGUUGAAAUUGGGUGAAACAUUUUCUCCAUUUUCUUCUAAGGAGGCCGGCCACUAAGGGGAGGGACAUCUAGCAAUCUCUUAUUUCCUUAGUCAUCCAUAUCAUCUUCACAAGAUACAUCCUUGGUGAAGAGACUUAGAGACAUCAAGCUUUUGGUGUUUUGGAGAACAAAUCCUUUUUCCUCAAAUCAUCAAAGGAGCACUAAAGGGAGGAAAACACAAGGAGGAUUCAAGGAGCUUGGAGGUGACUUGAAGGCCCUCCACUUGGGUGAAUCCCUUGUGUAAUCAAGGAUGAGCUUCAAGGGUAAAGAAUCACUAAAUCUUUACUUUUCUUUAAUGUUGUUAAAGAGUUUAUUUUGGUUCACCAUAUACUAGGCUUUGAAAGUCAUGGGUUUUAUGAAUUGUUUUUGAAUGCAUGCCUACUUUAAAGUGUUAAUAGCUUGCAUGUGUAUUCAAAUGUUCAUACUUGUUCUUAGCUAGGACAGAAUUUUUCCUUCAAUAAAUACCUCAAUCUCUACCAAAUUUUGGUAAACUUUUACAACCCUAAAAAAACCCUAAACAUUUACUUUUUCUUUUAAGGGAAAUUAACUUAGGCAUCAGAGAUCUAUUGGCCUAACCCCCCCCCCAACCUCAUGGGUGUGUAAGGCUUAGGUCCUUGAUCAAAGGUGUUGAUUGUUUUGCAGGUGCAUUUUCGUCAAAGCUAGAGACGGCCGAAAUUUGCAUUGACAAAUUGGUGCUUUCAUUGAGAGCUGAUUCAAAUACUCGAAGAAGCCUCUCCCACUUGGUUUCUUGAGUUUUCUGUUACGUUGAAUUUCUCACACAUCAUAUCAAUUAAAUUCCUAGAAAAUUUUCUUGAUCAAUUCUUGGAGAAAGGAUUCAAUGGUAGGAAAUUCAGAAACCACGACGAACAGAACCCCGUACGUACAAGGAUUUGGACUGGAGAGUAGAGAUGAGGAUGUAGCCCCAAGAGGGCGAUCCUCAAGGCUCAAUGCAAAGGCGAGAGAAGCCUCACCACUGUGGAGUUGCACCAUCACCGCUGCUGCAGCCCAACAACCACAACAAAGCUACCAAGCCACGACUUAAAUUCUUACACCAGUGCCCUUGCAGUGCACAGACCACCAAAACCCUGGGCAAGAGGCCUAGGUUCAUUCACUAGCCCAUAGGCAGGAGACCCAGGUCUAUAGAGAAGCAACUCAAGCCGCCACGACCCAAACUUAAGCAAGAGAGAUGACGCCUUACACUUUCUUCUUUCUUCUCUACAUAAUAGUAGGCCCGAGCCUGCCUCGUCAUACUUGGCCCGCACCAAGCCCAAAUCUAAAAGGGCUAGAGCCUCAUAGCUUGCCCAGCUUUGCGCUUAGUGUGCCAUUCACCUCGCCCACUCAUAAUUACCAUUGCUUAAGACAUCAAACAACCUAUGGCGAGACCUCAGUUUCUUUACACCAUUUGACAUGCUUGACUGGCCCAUGUUAGAUUCAGGCCCUCAGAAGGAGCUUGAGCCCAGUGGUUUGCUCCGUAUUACGCCUCAUCGCCUUAAAUCGCAUUCCCAGCUACGCAGUUACCUUUGGCUCUAACCGAGCCAAGUAGCCAAGUUGUGGCCCCUACUACGCCACCUCCUCAGCCCACGCUGAGCCGACUCCUGGCCCUUGCUAGCUGACGUGCUGUACUACCCUGACUGUUGCCCUGUGGCAGCACCACCUAAGAAAACAAACAAAAUUACCUUUUUCUUACCUUGGUGUGCGCAUAGAAGAAGAACAACAACGAGAAAUGACUCUUUGCAUGGGCAAGAGAAGAAGAGAGCUAGGGGAGGGGGAACAAAUUUCCUCUAGUUUCUCUCUUCCUUGUUGGAAUGAAGAUUGUUCUCCAAAAUUAUUUAUUCCCUUGUUUAAGGCAGAAUUAGGUAUUAGGGGCAAUUAGUUUCCUUUAUCUAGAAGAGUUUAUCUCCAAGUCAAAGUAGGAGAUCUACAUCAAAUUGGGAAACAACUCUACACACCCAGGCAAAUUAGGACUUCUACAUGUACUGUCAUUUUCCUACAUGCAGCCGAACAUGUGUGGGGGCAUUUGUGGAGCCUAAAAUAAUCCCAAAAAUCCUAGAGGCGACACGUGGACUUUUUCUCAAGAAAGAUAAGAUUGCCCUCAUUAAAUGGGUAGGCUUAUCAGAUUCUAACACACCCAGCUCAGCACCCCUGAAAGUCCAAAUAGCUGAAUAUGACUGCCCCAGCUCACCUGCCCUUGGCAAAGAAAAGUCAAAGCAUUAAAGAUAAAGAUUAAUUACUCAAAUCCUAUCUUUAAUACAUUCCCAAUUGACACUAUAAGAAAACAUGGAUUAAGUGACCCAAUUUUUUGUGGCGCGUGAAAAUUCAUCACAUAUAGGUAAAACAAGUGACGCUUUUUUAAAAAUCGUCACUUUAAGAUUUUUGUAGGACACCAAAUAUUUUGUGUCACUUAUACUUUUGGAUUCACCACAAAAAAGUGGGUGGGAAAGUUUACCGCCAAAUGAAAUUUUAAUAUGUAACACAUUGUUAACUUCAUAACAUAAGAAGAGGGAAGGCCACCUGGCCAUUCCUCACAUAUAGUAUUAAAUUAAAAAUAAAAAAUAAAAAAUAUUGAUGCAAUUAUCAAAACCCCCAAAUAACAAAACCUAUCCAUUUAUUCUCAUUUCUUCCUAGUCUUCAGCACCCGUUCGUUUACUCCUUCACCUUGACUUUGACGACCAGCUACUUGGUGGUUACAGCGAUGGCGACUAACACCUCUCCUUUGUCUCCCUCCUUCAACCAUUCUCCCACCCUUUGAUUCUCGUUCACUAACUCUCUUAUCUUUCUGACAUAACAAGAUCAAAUUGGAGAAAGAGAAGUUCGAUUUUUUUCUCAAGUUCUUUCAGUUGACAAUAAGGUACUUUGUUUCUCUAUAUUUCUUUAAUUGUUUUUGGAUUUUUUUUCCUUAAUUGUUCCCCAGAUUCUGAUUUUCUUUUGCUAAAGAUCCUGUUGCUGGUGAAUUGUUCUCUGCGUUAUAUAGGCAGUGAGUUUUCUAUUCCAGUCUUGAUUCUUCUUUACUCUUUGGAGUCAAAUUCUGGUCUUGGUGGUUAAUAUAUGUUUUUAUAUUUUUUCUUAGUCCCCUGACUAAGUGUUAUCUUUUUGUUUUUUAUUUUUGUUCAAAUGUUGGAAGUCUGUAACCAUUAAGCUGCGUAUUGUCUUUCUUGAGAGAGGUGUUGUCAAGAGUCAAGACUAGGUUCGCCUUGAAAUUUUUUGGGUCGGGCCAAUAGUGAUCUUAGUGCCGUUUCUUACUAGCUACUUGCAUUGGGAAUUCUUUAGAUGUGUACUUUCUUGUGUUUUGGCUGGCUGAAAAUGGGUGAUGGUAGGAGAUUUGGUAGCAUAUAAAUAUAAGAAAUGAUUAAAACUACUUACAUCCCUCAAGUAGAGUUCCGCAAAUCACUCGUAGCAUUCUCUCGAGUGAGUCCUAGACUUUUAUAGACUAGGAAAAUAUAGUUUGACUAGGACAAUACAUGAAAAUCCUAGAAUUUAAAAGACUAAAGUUUGUUUCAAAACAUGAAUUAUCAAUAUUAUGUCCUUUGGAGUGAUCCUAAAAUACUUGAUUAUGUUUGUAAACCUGUUUAUAGAAAUAUAUGUAGAAGUAUUGAUAUCAGCGAAAGUUCUUAAUUUCUAAAUAGAUUUGAAUUGCUUUUAUGUCUUUGUUGUGGUAUAUGCCCUCUGCUUCUGAUAUGCUUAUCUGAACUGCUUUUGCUGCACAAGAAUAGGUUCACACGGUGUUUCCGCGUCUCUUUGAGCCCAGAUGCCCAUAAAGCCAUAUGAUUGAAAAUAGCUUUUUCAUCAUGUAGGAGUAUGCAUCUUAAUUUUCACCGACCAAAGAAAUCCUAGCACGAUUUUACUUUCUUUGUUAAGUUAUCACACAAAUACGCAUAUUUUUAAUUAGUUAGCUAUUUAUACGAACAAAACUGAAACCAUAUGUUACAAAUUGUCUAAUAUACACUAACCUAAUAGUUUCCAAUUUUCUUGCCUCCAAGUGAAUUUCUUUAUGAGGUUUUUUAUUUUUUAUUUUAUUUUAAUUUUUCAAUUGAUAAUAGAUUGGGAGUUAAUGAGGAACUUUUUUAGCAUGGGAAAUGUCAAAGCAUUAGUUUUGACAAUUAGAUUGUUACAGACACUUCUAUGUAAAAAAAGUUGAAAACUUUUCCUUCAAAAUUUCAAAACAUAAACUAGAAGGAAGAGAAACAUCCAUGCUUGUAUCUCAUUUCUCACACAACAUUCUAAGAACUCACUGAAGCUAAUAGAACAAAAUACCUUAGCUCAGACCCCCUUGAAGUACUAGAAACUAGAGACAUGGAGGGCAACCCAAUUUUUCAUUGUGAUUCGGGGAAAAAAGAGUGUUUAUAUGACAUCAAGAGGAAAGGUGGGAAAAUGUGAAUAUGAUAGUUUGAUAUACUAAUGAUGGUGAAGCGGGUGAAGGAAUCCCUUACCUCCUCCUCCAAAUGAUGCAUUUGCACCACCACCACCACCUCCUCCGCCACCUCCUCCACCACCACCUCCACCACCACUUGCACCUCCAUGAGGGAAGAGGGUGAAGCAGGUGAGGGAUCCCUUACCUCCUCAUCUAAAUGAUGCACUUGCACCUCAUCCGCCACCUCCUCCACCAACACCUUCUCCAUCACCACCUGCACCUUUGCCAACAAACACUAACCCAGGUAAGAAAGGUAGUUACAAUUAUUUACUUUUUCCUUAUUAACGUAGUUUUAAACAACACAUCACAUUGAUUAGAGAUACAUAUAUUUUUCUAGAGACAGAUUUUGACAUUUUUGCAAAAAAUUUGACUCGUGGAAAGUCAUGUGGGAAAGGCGUCCAUGAUAUUUCGGAGGCCAAUAACGGGCUAAAGAUGCCAAUCAUCUUUGAUUUUAAACAUCAAGUUCCAAGUGAUCUAGUUGUGUCAGGUUUUUUCACGUUCGAGAUAAGGAAUAUUGUUUGAACUUAUUCACCGGUUUGCUAUGAAAGAUGGUUUAAGGUCCCAGCUUCAGAAAAGAAGAAACUAUGAGAGAAGUUUCUUGUGAGUUUGAAUUUAAUUCAAUUUAUUCAUUGUAAUUUCAAGCACUCACUUGCAUAUAUUUGUGUUUAACAAUAGGUAUUAUUUGUUGUGGACAUAUCCCAUCCAAAGAUUAUUGAAUAUGUUGACAAGAAGAUGGCAAAGUUGCACUCUCAGUUUAGGCACUGGUUGCAUCUGCACUACUUGUCAUGUGGAACACCUGGGAGAGGACGAGCUAAGCUUCCAAAUGAUAUGAUAUGGAAUGGGAGGCCAAAGAGUCAUUGAGAUUGGUUAUGUGAUAAUGUUUACUCUACUACACUCUUUUUGGUAUGUAUUCUAUAUAAUCUUUUGUAGUAUAAAUCCAAGUUAGAGACCAAUUCUUUCAAAAUGAAGACUUUUUGUUGUGUUCUACAAAUUCAGUUUUUAUAGUCAGAACCUCUAACCUUUUAUGCUUCAUUUUCAUUUUGGUUGUCAUCUGCUUAAUUUUCCAAUGUAAAAUUUCUACAUCUUGGCUUAGUUACUUUUUGUUUCGUAUUUUCCCUUUAUUUAUUGAGAUUUUCCCUUUCUUGUAAUUGGUGGCUUUAUUCAUCUAAUUUGUUCUUAUGGAACUCAUAUGCUUAGUGUCAUUUUGCAGGCCACUAAUUAGUGUUUCAACUGUUUGUUUUAAAUGAAUUUUGUUUCUUUGACUGUGAUUAAGAUCUCAUGUUGUUUGUCUAGAACAUUUAUAUUGUGUUAGGACAAGAUUUAUGUAUCUUAGCUUACUUGGCUAUACAGCCACUCACUUUUUUACUUGUAAUUGUCAAAUCUGCUCAAACACCUAUUUAAUUAAGUUAAAAUUAGGAAUAUGGCAAUGAUAAUAUAACGUUGUUUUGAUAGCCAGAUUUGAAAUAAAAAUAUCCUAACAUGCAUUAAUGAAUUUCACCUUGUGGUUAAAUUGAUUGUUACUUCUUUACACUUAGGUAAUUUUGAGUUAAAAUUUGAAGUUUGUUGAUUGUUACUUCUUGACACUUUGGUAAUUUGGAGUUAAAAUUUAAAGUUUGAAAAUGAACAUCAUAUACUCAUUUGACUAACUGUGUUAGCCUAAUGCCCUUGGUAGAAGAAAGAGUACCUUCCAUUCAAUUUCCUUAAGCUUGGUGUUUAUAUGUUUCUCUCUCCCUAGCUUGUGCUGUUUCUAACAUUGUUGACCGAGAGAACAUAGAAGGUGAGAUGAGAUAGUCCUCUAAGGUGAAUGAAUACGUAUAACUGAAAUACAUGAUGUUAUAUAUGACAAGUUUAAGAGCUUGGAACUUUCCAAAUUUUACACAUGUAUAGCUAACUAAAUCUUCUUUUGUAUGUCAUCCACCAAAUGUGUAAUGUAGGAGCUUUCAAAGCAAAAUGCUUAUAAUAGGAAGAAACAAAAGUAUCACCAUCGAGGAGGGGCAAUGCCAUUUAUCCAACAUGCUAGGAAGACCCAGAUGGUAAUGAAAUUAAAUUACUUAUUAUAUUCAUUAUGGAAUGUACAUAAUUCUAAUGUAUGUUUCUGCAUUAUUGAGCAGAAAGGAAAUCCAUUAUUUGUGAUUGACAAUUGGGGGUUCUCCAUAAAGUCGGUGGAUAAAUGAUGUUGUUCGGGACAAAUAUGUAAGUCAUUCACGGACUUAUCAUUUAUGUCAUUAUAAGGGAGAUGGAGGUUAAAAAACAAAUCAAAUUUGACAUGAUACAACUUAGGAAACACAAAUAAAGUGAACAUGCAAGAUUGUAUUGAAAAAAAAAAAACUUAAUAAAACUAGCUAGAAGCUGAAAGGUUAUACCUAACAUUCAUUCAAACAGAAACUACUUUAAAGGUUAUAUGUUGUAUGUUGCCUUAUCCUAUGUAAAACACAUUGAAGCAUAAGCUACAAAAUCAUAUGUAAAGACCGUUUAUACCCAAUGGUUUGCUUCUACAUUAGUUCAGGAUCACAUCCAAGUAUUUAAGUGGUGUUUUCUUAAGUAUAUUGUGGCUGAUUUGUUUGAAACAAAAGAAACUUAUUUGUUUGUAUUUUAAUAUGAAAGGAUAACAUGAAGAAAAAGAAGGAUGAAGUUAGGGAGAAGCUAAUCCAAGAAGUGAUAAGCUCAUAUUUAUAUAUAUUUUACAUAAAAUUCACUUGUCUUUUCUUAGUUAGUUCCUUAUAUUUUUGAGCUAUUUACUAUGUUUUUGUGUUUUGUGUGAUUUAUCAAGCAAAGAAAAGAAAAGUAGCACAAGUGAAUUAUUAAGUAACAAAUUCGUCAAAACUGCCUGUGCAGAUUAUCUGACUUUGGAAGCAUGUUACAAACAGUUCAGAAUGAAUGAGAGAAUGAGCCUUAUAUGCGUGGAAAGCUACAGAUGUCUAUUUUCUGGAGCAAUUUAAGGAUUGUUAAUCUCAUUUUUCUAGAAGAAGUUAUGGGCAUUGUAACACUGAAAGGUCAGAAAAGGGCUAAGCAGAUUUGGCUAAUAAAAAGAGAAAGGCAACACAUGGGCAAAGGAAACACACACACAUGGGCAGAAGAUGGGUGGAUUGUUGGCUGAAAUAAUGAAGAACAUGUGUAUGCAAAUGCAAAGGAAAAACACACACACAUGGGCAAAGGAAACACACACACAUGGGCAAAGGAAACACACACACAUGGGUAGGAAUUGUGUGUGUUUUGUGGUUGAAAUGAUGAAGCAUGUGUGUGUAAAUGUAAAGGAAAACAUGGCAGAAAAUGUGUGUGUUUGGUGGUUGAAAUGAUGAAGCAUGUGUGUGUAAAUGUAAAGGGGAAACAUGACAACACACACCCACACAAGCUGCACAUGCAAAGGAAAUGGAGUGGUCCUCUCUCAAGCCUAUAAAUACCACCUCCCAUAUUCAUCAACAUAACAGAUUUUCUCCUUGCUUUGGCCGAAACUUCCCACCACCAUUCUCUCUAAUUUCAGCCAAAAACCACCCCUAGCCACACUACCCAUCAAUCCUAAACCUUUCCAUACCAUUCCCCAUCCAUUCUACACCAUAAAAACCACCAAAAAACCGUCCAAAAACCUCUAGUGCCGCUGCUUGCAAGGAAGGAAAGAGAAGGAACAUCUUGUGCCGUGCCUAUGCCCAAGCCUUGGGAGUGUUGGAGCGUUUCUAGGUGUUUUCUAUCUUUGUUUUUAAUGUCUAAAUUUAUGCAUCUUUUGCUUUGUAAGUAUGAGGAAACUAAACCCCUCUUAGUUAGGGGGUGAUUCGAAACUAUGUUCAUGCUUGCAAUAUGAUUUGAUUACAUCCUGUUGUGAUUCAUAAGUUGUGAAUUCAAUUUACUUAUCCGUUCGUAUAAAAACUGAUUUGUGUAUGUUGGUUGAGAGUGCACGCUUAAUUUUCAUGCAUGAAUUUGACGCUAGAAUAUAAGGGAGUUUCACCUAAUCGUUAUGAACUUAUAUUCACAAGUAGUGAAGGUUGCUAGUCACAAUCACGUUAAGUAAAUUCUUGGCAUAAGUUUCAUGCAAAUCAUAGUAACGAGUGCGUCGUCAAUGCUUAUGUUUUUCAUAGAACUUAAUGAUUCUUGCUUGUAUCUCUAUUAUGCAAUUCAUGUAGGGAACUUGUAGGGAAUGUUUUGGGUUGUCGUAUGCAAUCAUCCAACCUAAUAACUUGUGGAAAAACUGAGGGUUAAUUAGUGCAAUUCACGGUUAAUUUGGGGCGUUGAGUAUUCAUAGUUUAUCGAAAAGCAACUGGAAAUCGUUUUGUAUGCAAGUGUGACAUGUGUGGAGAAGAACCUCCUAACUAGCCUUCCAUCCAUAAGUUUCAUUCAAAUUCAUUUACAAUCUGUUUUGUUUUACAAAGUUUGUUUUGUUUUCAAAUUCGUCAAGAACCAAUCUCCCAUUUAUUUCAAAGUGUUAGAUUAGUUAGUAAUCACUUUAGUUUGUGUUUUUAAGUGUCUUGAGUCAAGUCAUAACCCAAUUUCGUCCAAUUUAGUGUUAGGUGUUCAAAACUGCCCAGAAAGUGUUUUUAAGGCAGUUUUGAGUGUUUAUUUGCUGUUUUGAAUCUUUUUGUUUAUCUUAGUAUUUUAAAGUAUAGUUUUGCAUUCUUUGAGUCUAGUUUAGUGUUUUAAACUUUGUUUUUACGUUUUCAAGUCAGUUUCCAAGUGAUUUAGCAAUCCCUCCUAAUCCCCGACCUAGAACGAUCCCUACUUACAUACUUUACUACAUUUGAUAAAAAGAGGGUUUAAUUUGUGUACUUAUAUAUAUCGCAUCAAGAAGCACCUGCGGGUACUAUAUUCGAUUCCAUACAAGUACCAUUGGAAGAUGAAUUUGGAAUCAUGGCUGAGAACCUUGGAAGGAAGGGAAAAUCUGUUAAUGGUGUAGGUCUUUUUUCUCGUACGGAUACCUUUAGUUGCGUUUCUUCUAUGGCUUCAAUUUCUGAGUUAACUGAUAUGAGAGAUCAGAUCAAGAUUCUAUCAGAUGGUUUCCUCAAAUUUACAAAAUGAUGAUGAAACCUUGGCAUAAAAAAUUAAGGCUUUUUUAGCUGCAAGUUAGGGGCAGACCAGCAACAACUCGAAGGAAUCUGAUGGUAAUAACUCAUCUAGUGAAAAUGUUUAUCUUAAACUGGAAGAACAUGACUUGGAAGAAGAAUGAUUUCGAUAGUUAUGUCUUUUGUUAUUAGUUAAGUAUGCACAUGGUAGACCUUUUUGUUAGCACCUCAAUGUGUCUUAGACUUUUCUUUUGUUAAUUAGUACCUUAAACAGUCCAUGUAUAGGCCUUGGUACCUUUAUUCACAAAUUGCUAUUAUUAAGAUAGGUCACCACGAGUUAGAUUGAUUUUGGGAUGUUUAAGUUAUUUUGUUGGAUGUGUAGUUGUUGAACAUAUUCGAACUUAUGUGGUUUAAUUGUUGAUUAAUGAAAAUGGGAAGUAUUACUUUAUAAUUGUUAUGAGUUGCUAUUCUAGAUUACGAAACAUGAAUAAGUAAUGAAUUCCUCAAAUAUUAUUCCUAAAUAGUUAUUUGAUUAUAAUAUAAGUGACAUAAGCUGCUUCACCCAUCAAAAGAAUAUGUGACGAUUUCAAUGUCACUUAGUGUAAUUAUAUAAUUCUGGGAUCAUAUUGAGUGACCUAAAUAGCAUCACUUAUAAGUCUGAUAUGAGACAAAAAACAUAGGUCACUAAAUUUUGUAUUUUUUGACGCUAAUUUCGUCACAUAUUAGAAUAAUAAGUGAUGGAAGAAGUGUCACGUAAAAGAAAAAUAUGUGGCGACUCCAAUAUUCGUCACUUAAACUAUCAGUGAUGCUAAUUGUGACACUGAAAUUUCAUCACAUAUAGUCAAAUGUGACGAUUUUUCAUAUUUAUGUGACGAAUGUUGGUCGUCACAAAAGCUAUGUUUUCUUGUAGUGUGAAGAUAUACUCAAUUUAAGUAAGUAAUCUUUAUUUAAAUCAAUUAGGGAUAUUUAUUCCAUUAUCUCAAGAUAGUAUUUCCUAUUUAAUAUCUUGAGAAUAUUAUCCAUAAACUUUGGCCAAUAGGAUGCCGCCAUGUGUAGGGUAAAACCCUAACACCAUGGCUAGCCACUCCCCUAUAAAUACUUCCAUCUCUACCAAAUUUUGGUAAGCUUUUACAACCCAAAAAAGCUCUAAACACUUACUCUUUUUCAAUGAAACUAACUUAGGCAUUGGAGAUCUAUUGGCCUAACCCUCCUCCCACCUCGUGGGCGCGUGAGGCUUAGGUCAUUGAUCAAAUGUGUCGAUUGUUUUGCAGGUACAUUUUCGUUCAAGCUAGAGACGGCGGAAAUUUGCAUUGAUAUCAUCCACACUGGAAAGGGUUUUGUUGGUCCCAUCUUUAUUAGAGAGUCGUAUAGACGUGAAUAUGAAAAAUAUGGUAAGAGUUUGUUGCCCUAUUAUUCUUAAGCGCUUUGGCUUUUCUCAGCAGCUUCCUUCUUCUUGAGCAUGGCAUUCGCUUGUCUCCACUUAUGGUAUUUGCCAAACAAGAGCUCCAUAUCUUCGAGGGUUCGGCCUUGUGUUUCUGGCAGCAUUGUGUAAAAGAAUAUAAAAGCAAUCGACGAAGUUCCGGCAUAAAGGAAGAAGGCGCCACCGAUCGUGAUGGCCUUAUACAAUGAAAUAAAAGUCAUGGAGAUGACUCCGCUCAUCACCCUAUUCAUGGCCACUCCCAUAGCGCACCCUUGCGCGCGCGGAGCUGCAGCGGGUAGAUCUCUGAGCUGUAGACCCAGGUGACGGGUCCAAGCCCGAUGAGAAAAAAACGCAACGUUGAACAUUACCAUCGCAAUGCACAGAGCGACGGCCCAUUGGACCUUGCCGUGGGAAUGAUCGACGACUGUAAGGCCCACACCGAGCAAUGUGAGAGAGAAGAUCAUUCCACCCACACUGGUCAAAAGCAAAGGACGACGUCCGAACUUGUCAAGCAUAAAGGUGGCGACCAGGAUGAAAAUGGUCUUGACAACUCCAACGGCUACGGUUGCAAGUAGUUUGUCAUUGUAGGAAGUGAUUCCGGCCUUCUCGAAGAUCCUGGGGCUGUACAACACGACGGAGUCAAUACCGGAGAUUUGCUGGAAGAAGUGGAUACCAACUCCCACGAUCAAAAUAUGGCGGACAGCUGGGGUGGGCCGAACGAUCAAGUCUUUCCAUACGCCUUCACCUUUGCUUUUCUUCGAAACCUGAACGAUAUCCUCGUUGGACUCUUUUGGGAUUCCAGCGGCCUCUUUGAUCUCGUCUAGUCUGAGCUGAGCCUCCUCAUGGGUACAAGAAGUUUUGUUCAGGACUUUCCUGGCGUCUCCGAGUCGCCCCUGCAUGACGAGCCAGCGUGGUGACUCAGGCAUGCCUAGGACGCCGACGGCGAGGAAAAGAGAGGGAACUGCGCCAAGGCCGAGCAUGAUCCUCCAGUUCAAGUGGAUCGGGAGAUUGGACAAGGCAUAGUUGGAUACGUACCCAAGUAAUAUACCAACAUUAACAAACACCUGCAUAUUUUGAAACAAAUCAAAUUUAUUGAUUCAUAUUUUCCUACAAGUGGAUUAAUUAUACAAUGAGAUAAUCAAGCAAAGAAACAGACCUCAGGGAAAGAUGUGAGGAGGCCACGGAAUGAGGCUGGAGAGAUUUCGGCUGUAUAGACAGGAGCUAUCAUAAGAGCGUAACCAACUCCAACUCCAGCAAUAAAUCGGCCGAACAUGAGGAAGGCGUAGUUGGGGGCAAAUCCCAUCAGGAGGGCUCCAGCAAAGAAGAUGGCUCCAGAGAGGACAAUGGUGUAUCGUCGGCCAAUCCAAUCGGAUGUUCUUCCUGCCAAGGCGGAACCGAUGAGGGAGUACAGGUUCAGAGUACCGUUGAGGACUUCAACUUGUACGUCGGUGAUUUUCAGGUUUUCUUUGAUGAAGAGUGAUGCUCCACUCAUCACACCAAUAUCUGUAUGUAAAAAUGACAUCGACGUCAUUGCACGCGGAGAUCAGACAACGUAAUAACACACAUGAAAAGGAAAAAAAUACCAAAAGAAAAAUACACAUGCAUGAGGUAAAUGGACAAUUAAAUUUACCAUAGCCCAGCAAGAUUGAAGUCAUUGAAGCCAAAGUGGCACAGGCAAUAGCGAACUUCUUUGUCUUCGCGGCCUUUGGGGGAUCAAAGUCCGCAAUAGUCUUCUGGCCUGAGGCUUCAGUAUUUUGAGGUUUCCGGUCAGCCAUCUCCAUUGUUAUAGCUAGCUAGAGAUCGAUAGACAAAUAGACAGACAGAACACAGAGAGAUCACUUGUCAAUGAAAGAAUAUGC